UAAUCUUCAAUUUCUACCAAUUAAAUUAAUUUUAUAAAUCUAUCCCAUCAAUCAAAUCCUACACUAAUUCUUCCAAACUUUUAUUCCAAAUCUAUUCUCAAUUACUCACAAAUUCACUCAAAAAAACAAUAAAAAAAUUACUCUCAAAUCCACUCAAAUUCAAUUCACAUCAUCUCCCCGUGUCAUAAACCCAAAAGAACAAAACAUAAAAGAAAAAAGUUUUUCGGAAGGUAGUGAUUUGAGACACACUGAUCACGACUUCCUGGCCACACCGCUUCUCCUUCUGCAGCGUAUUUCUUCUUUAAUUUCAGAGCCACCAAACGUUUCUCUUUCACUCGGAACAACUCCCUCACCCGUGAUCAAUCAUUCACUCAAUAAUUCAGUUACUGUGAUGUCUCCUCCAAUCAAAGCUACCGACACUCAUCUCCAAUUAUUUUUCUUCUUUCUAUAAAAAUUUCAUCAGCCAAGAAAUUAUGGGAGGGCAUAAUCAGACCAAAAUCCAUACCUCCCAACCACAACACCGAACCAUCCCAUAACCUUCAUUCAUCCCACCAGAAAACCCAACUUCAUCUUCACGGCCAAAAAUCAAAACUUCAAUUCCCAGACAACCAUCAAUCUCCAACCAACUUCAAUUUCUAUAUUCAUUCUCCAUCACCCCAACGCCAUCUUGACUUCUGAAACCCAUCAACCAUUUUCAUCUCCGAUCAACCCAAACACCCAAAAUCAAUUAUAACAACCACAAACACAGAGCCAACACAUGGGAAAGAAGGAAGAAAGCUGGUGACGGUAGCGCUUUGAACGGAGGCUCGCUGCAGAUCCAGUGUCGCUGGGAGUCGCCGACGGCACCCGACUGACGCGAUCUAGGACAGGGGAAGUUCCCUCCUCGUGGUGGCUGGUCCGAACGAGCAGCGGCAGCGACGACUGGCUUCGCUGGCGGCGUUGUUUUCGCGUGAAGAAAAGGAGGGAUGGGACUGGAGUUGCGAUCGGUGGCAGCUCUGUCGACGCCGUGAACAACGGUGUGGUGGUGGUCGGCGGCUGCCGGUUGGGUAAUGGCGGUUGGCUCUGGAUUUUGUCUCUGGAGGAAGAGACUUUUGAGUCUCUGAUGCAGGGUUUGAAAAAUGAACAACCCUCUUUGCCUCUAAAUUAAUUAUCUUUUUAAUAAAAAAAUUAAAAAAAAAAACAAACAAAGAAAAAUAAAAUAAAAAUAAAAUAAAAACAAUUUUCUACACCCCCUUUAUUCCUAUUUCACACCCCACUGCACUUCUAAAAAAGAAUCAGGACUUGGACCAGCACUUACUUCAUGCACCCUCCAACUUCACUGCUGCACUCCUGAUUUAUCUCUGUACCCCCUGUUUUCUCUGUUCGCACCCCUUCUGCAAACAAAGGGGACUUGGGCCAACAUCUACCACAUGUCACCCCAGAUUUCAUCUGCUGCACUCCUAUGAUCAUGGGCCAAUCAUUUUCGCUCAGCACCCCUGGUUUUUAAUUUCUACACUCCUAUUCUUGCUUUUAUUUUUUCUAUUUGUUUUCACUACGUGUAACCCCUUUGUAUGAUAACUCCACCCCGUUCCUUAUAUUUUAUUUUUAUCUAAAUUAAAAAUAAAUACAAAAUAAUUCUAUCCCGAUUGUCAUGUCAAGUCUCGGACUUGCUUGAUAAUCAUCCUUUUAUAAUUUUCUCGAUUGUCAUGUCAAGUCUCGGACUUGUUUGACAGUCUAUUUUAUAAUAAUUCUGAUUGUCAUGUCAAGUCUCGGACUUGCUUGAUAAUCAUCCUUUUAUAAUUUUCUCAAUUGUCAUGUCAAGUCUCGGACUUGUUUGAGAGUCUAUUUUAUAAUAAUUCUGAUCGUCAUGUCAAGUCUCGGACUUGCUUGAUAAUCAUCCUUUUAUAAUUAUCUCGAUUGUCAUGUCAAGUCUCGGACUUGCUUGACAUUCAUCUUUUUAUAAUAAUAAUUCUAAUUAUCAUGUCAAGUCUCGGACUUGCUUGAUAAUCAUUUUCAAAUAAUAAUUUUAAUUAUCAUGUCAAGUCUCGGAUUUGCUUGAUAAUUAAAUAAAAAAUAUAAAAAAUAUAUAACUAAAAAAAUAAAUAACUAAAAAAUUUUAAAAAUAAUUUUAUCUUUCACUUGUUUUAUAUCUAGCUCGUUGUUUAUGCUAUGACAUUUUUUUCAUAAUUCAAAAAUACCAAAAAAAUAUACAAUCUUCAGAAACCAAAAAACAUCUUCAUUUACCAACAAAUCUCAAAUCAAAUUUCCAAACAAUUUUUCCAAAUCAAUUUUUUAACAAAUUUUCCAAUCAAUCCCCAACCAGUUUUUAAAUCAAUUUUUCAAUCAAUUUCCAAACAUUUUCCAAACAAACACGCAUUAAAACGUAGUAGCCAGAACUACGCGAUCUUUGAUUCUCCAUCAAAAGUGGAGAUACGUAGGAGCAAGGCCAGUUCUAGUCAGGUUCACUUUCCAAAAAUUCAAAUCUUUUUCUUUAAUAUUUUCUCAAAAAAAUAAAAAAAAAUAUUUCUUGUUUCUUUAUAAUUUUAUUUUCGGGGAUAGUUAAACAUUUUGCAAACCACAUCAAGUUCGCAUACUUAAUUAAAGGUACUGCCUUCAGGCAGGCGUUGUAGGGUGCUAAUACCUUCCCUACACGUAACCGACUCCCGAACUCAAAUCUCUGAUUUCCGUAGACCGUGCCUUACUAUUUUAUGGUUUUUCCGUAGUUUUCCAGAAUAAACUAUGGUGGCGACUCCAAAACUCUUUUUUCGAAAAUAAUUCCUUUCUUUUCUUUGGACCGUCGUCCCGUCGCGAUCCCGGUUGCGACACAUACAAUUUCAUACGAAUUUUGCACAUGCAUUUCAGCUACCACUGUCACAAAUAACAAUCUCAUUCAUGAUAACAAUAAAACACAUAACAGAAAUGAAAUACAGCUUCCCUUACCUCAAAACAGUCUAUAGUCUAGCCAAAACCCAGAUUGAACUUGCAUCUCACAAAAGUUCUAUGGAAACCUACAAACUUGUGACAAGGAAUAGUUCUUAGAACCUAAUUUAAGUUGAGAAUUGAAAAUGGAAAAUCACUAUGAACAUGCAACAAUUUGCAUGCCAAAGAAUCAUGAAAGAAAGGAGAGAAUCACUUAUCGGUGGAGGAUCGGAAAACUGAUCGGUGACAAUCGGAGCUCUCAAUGCCAGGAACACCUAUGAGCUUCCUGAUUGUUGAACAAACAACUUAGUGAUGAAAAGGCUUAGAGAGAAGGCAGAGCUUUAGGAAAGGGAUUUACUUCUAGAGAGAGAAAACGUUUUUGAAAACUGAGGUAAGAUCUACUUUAAAAUUCUAUUUAUGUUUAAAAUGGAAAAUUUUGGGUUCUUACAAUUUUUAAAUAAACAUUUACUUUAUGUUUUUAAUAAAUAAUAUUUAUUUAUUAUAUUUUUAAUAAAGGAAUGUUCCCCUCUUAUGCUUUAUUUUUUAAAAUUGAUUUUUUUAUAAAUAUUUAUAUUUAAAAUGGUUUUAUUUAAAUUUUAUUCAAUAAAUAAUUUUGAGAGAAUACAGAAAAUAAAUGUGACUAAAUUAAAAAUUGACAUAUCAUUUAUUUAGAAUCAUAUUUUAAAAAUGGAUUAAAUAUGUUUUUCGUCUCUCAAGUAUUAGUGAUUUUUGGUUUUAGUCCCUACUUAAAACAUUGAUAGCAUUUAAUCCUUAUAGUAUUAAAAUAUGUAAAAAUAAUCCUUAAAAAUGGAUGGCGUUAACUUUUGGUUAACGGAAUGCCACGUCUUCUUCUAGCACUGUUCUCUCUCUGCUAGAUCCAACACCUUUGAACCCUAUUGGAGGUAUUGCCGGUGAUACAGGUCGUCUCCGCAUUGACGUUGCUGCCUUAGCCACCACUCGAACAGCCACCACGCUGUUGUCCACGGUGUUGCCAGUACUUACUCCGAAAAAGCCACCUCCUUUUAUGGCGGACCACCACCACUUUGUCCCUUCUCCUUCGUGCGAGAGGAAGACGGAUACCCUGUGCAGUGCGACAGGAAAAUAGUGAGGCCUUGGUUAUUAAUUGGACUUUUCAUCUAUCCUCUCACUAUAGAUAUAUGAAAAUUUUUGCAGAGGAUUGUCUCAUUGUGAUUUAUCUAUUUCUCUAUGUUCAUGGUAUCAUUCAAGAUAGGAACGAAAAAACUGUAUCAACUUUGUUUGGAAAAUGGAAUGAAAGCAUUUAUUACGUUAAUGGAGACUACACCGGGAAAUCAAUCCAAGAAAGCAUGUGGUCAAUGAGAAAGCCUAAUUUUAUUUUCAGAAAUUCUGUGUCAAGUAAACUAAAUCAAGAUUCAAUAUCGGAAAUCUACCUAAUAUAGCAUUGAUCAACACACAAAUGCUCUUAUAGAAAUUUGCCAAGAACUAAAUCAGACGUCUUCUCAAUUUAGUAAAAUGAUAAAUAUGUUAGCUUUUGGAUUAAAAGAAAAUCUGCAAUUUACAUUGAAGAAUAUGGUGGUUCCAUGAAGCGUCAUAGUUCAAACUUCAAGAAUAACAACUGUUGAUGCUUAUCCUGAAAAUCACAAGAAAAAUAUAGUGAGAAGCCUACAAUUAAGCAAGAAUCAGCAUUAUAUAAAAAAGAAUAAAAGCAAGAACAUAAACAGAAAUUAAUUCUUUCAAAGUUGAAGUAUAAAAAACCAUAAAAACGACAUUAGCAAAAAUUCUUCCAAGUUCAAGAAAAGUUCCUAUUUCUGAGAUCUUUACACCUAAGAAUAAACUCCAACAUAAAAAAUGCAUUCAAUAUUAAAAAAUAAAACUUUAAGCAAUUGGGGUUUAGAAAAAUCAAACAGAAAAAGGAAAACAAUUGGGGUAUUCGUGCAAACUUCGCUGUUCGAAGAAAGGCAAAGAAACAGAGAAAAAAAAAACAGCUGGGCUCACUCCAGACAGAAAUCGACACGGAGGGGAGAGCUUCUUCGACCCAAAAGAGAGGAGGAGAAGGGAAUGCGAUAGUGGAAAUGCCACCGACGACGAACGACGGGGACAUCGACGUCUUGGCCGGUGACGACGACGUCUUGGCCAGUGACUGGAAGUGGUUGGUCUCGCCGGCAAUAAGCAACACACAUCCCAGGAAUCGUUUCCUCUCGCGCACGAGGAGUCCAAAUGUUAAAAAAUCAACGUGGCAGUUAGUGCACAGUAAAUCUGGCAGAAGACGUGGCAUUCCGUUAACCAAAAGUUAACGCCAUCCAUAUUUAAGAAUUAUUUUUACAUGUUUUAAUACUACAAGGAUUAAAUGCUAUCAAUGUUCUGAGUAGGAACUAAAACAAAAAAUUACUGAUACUUGAGGGACGCAUAUUUAACCCUUUAAAAAUUAGAAAAAAAAUAUGAAUAUCAUUUCAUUAAGAUAUAAUACUAUUUAAUAUAAUUUUUAAAAAAGUAUUUUUUAAAAAUAAAGUAUGUAACAUUAAAUAUUGCAAUGAAGUUGUGUCACUUUUGGCUGAAGUCAUAAUAUCUUAACGCGAUUUAAUUGAUUUCAUUGCAUAAGCAAAAGUAGAUUGAUAUAAAACAAAGUUGUAUACAUGUUAUGUGUUGAUGAAAUACAACUUCACUUAAACACAAACAAAAUAAUAUUUAAAUAAUACAACUUCUUCGUAAGUCAUGAUAUUUAAUCACAAUUGAUCUAUAUGAAUAUUUUUUAAAAAAAUAUACAUAAUUUAAUAAAAUCUAACAUAAAGAAAUAAUGCUGGUUUACUAAAUCAGGACAACAAUACGUUAACUUAUAUUUUUUUACUGAUAUAUAUAUGUAUAUUAUUUUUUUGACAAUGAUAUUUUAAUAACUUUUUUUAAAAACUUUUUGACAACAAGAUACGUGUUACUAUUUUAUUGAUCGGUUUGAAUUUAUUCUAAAAAAAUAUUUGAAACGGACCCAUCACAGACUGCCACAUUAUAAAAAAGUUAUCAAAAAAAAUUGUUAAAGAAACUUUUUUCUAUUUUUUUCAUUAAAUUUAAAAUAUGGGACUACAAUAAUAAAUAAAUAAUAAAUCGUAAAAAAAGAAAGAAAAUAACAAGUGAAAAAAUCCAUAUAAAAAUAUUUUCUUUUCACCAACUUAUGCUACGUGGAGUGAACUGAAGCAAGGUUUUGCUCUGCCAAUUAGUGGGACACAACAUCCAUGAACUCUGCGUCGUCUCCCAUGGCCUCCAAAAUCAAAUAAGGAAGGGUGGCUACAAUGUCAAUGGACCCUUCUUCAGCUCCGCCGAACACAGUAAUCAUGCCGUUACGUUUAUGUUGCCCACCUCCAAUUCCAACUGCUUCAGCCUUUCCCCAGCCAAAAUCGUUAUCUAAUAUCUUAAACCUUGGAGAACUGCUAGUGAUCAAGUAAUUACUACCACCCACGCCACUCGGCAACGUUAAAAGCCUUGGCCUUCUCACCCAACAUUCAUACUGCUUCUUUACCUUCUCACCAGACUGCAAAGAAAUCACCCUGUUCAUCUCUAAAGCCCCCUUUCCAAUCCCACCCUCCAAUAGUUCCCCACAUUUCAUCGUCACAAUACUGGCUAUAACCGAGUUUCCAAAAUAACCCUCUGCCAGUGCUGGAACCAUCCUCGACCAAACGCCGAUGAACAACACAUAAUGCACGUUUUCUUGCGGCUUGACCCGCUUGCAACGUGUCACAGCGCGCCAAAGGAGAGUUAGAAGCGCUUGCAGAGAAGAUAUUUUGUCUGUGUUGGCCUCUGCAUUAGCUUUUGAUUUGAGUUCGGCAAUUUUUUCCUUCGUGAAAUGGAAUACCCUCUCAUGUGGAGCUUGUGGUUUGAGGUUUGGGGAGUGUUGGUUUUCUUCUUCCUCUGCGAAGGGAAAGUGUAUGGGGUGGUCAAUGCCAUCGGGGAAGUAACGGCGGAGAGAAGGAAGUUUCGAUAUUUGAAGGGAGCCACGUGAGAUUUCAGCCCAGGAAUUCACAAAAUGCCAGAAUGACUUGCCGUCAGCAACGACGUGGUUCACUGUUAGGGCGAUGAAGAUGCCGUCAACUAGCUCCGUCACUUGCACUGCCAGCAAUGGCUGCGACGUGCCCUCGUAGUUUUUAACUCCGUUGAUUGGAAAGAAGGAGGAAACAAUGAGAGGAACGUAUUUUGGUUGAAGGAUGUGUGCAACAGUGGUGUUGGGUGCAACGGCGUGGACAAAGAGUGCUCCAGCGUUGUUGCAUAGGAUGUGGGAUGAGACAAUGCUGUGAUGAUGUCGGAGUAUGGCGAGACGACCUGCGAGGGGUGGAAAGAAUGCUAGAGUGGAGGAAAGGGAGUGUUGGAGGUGGUGGAUUUGGAAUGGUGUGUGUUUUACGUUGCGAAAAAGAAGGCCUUUUUGGAUGGUUUCAGUAGGGAGGAAUUGGAGAUCCCAGGGAGUUAAAUCGACUGUAUGAGGUGAAUUAGCGUUAUUGGGAACGGAUGCUUUGAUUGUGGUGUUGGAGAUGACUCGAACGUUUUCCAUGUGUUAAUCUUGAUUGAGUUAAUGUGAGGAAGAGAAGAGUAGUUAAUGUUAUAUAAGAAAGCAAGGUCUCCGAUUGAGGCGCCAUCAAAGCGUGUUAGAGAAACAAAGGUGGAACAAAACUCCUGGGUUAUGUGGAUAGCCGAAGAACGACAAAUAGAUAACCAUCAAAUCUUCAACUCUUACGGAUAUGCUCUUCUCUCGUAAGUUCCACGACCUCAGCAGUUAAAUCUGAAAAAGAACAGACACUAAAUACAAAAAUUCUAAAAUUUUAGAUUAAAAUUAUAGUUUCAUAUUAUCUUAUAGUUAGUUCGUGAUCCAUUUAUAAGAUUCAUAGUAUUUUUCUUCCUCUUUUAAUUUCUCGUAUUGAAAUCCAAGGCAUACAUGAAUUCUUGCUGUGAUCACAAAAUAGCCUUUUGAAACAGUUAACACAAUGUAAUAAUCUUGACUUCUUCCAACUAAAACAACUUUGAAAACUUCCAAAAGAAACAUUUUCAACUAGAACAGGCGUGACCUUUUUCAACCUGUUAAUCCCAUAACAUCAAUGCUCACUGCAGAUAUUAGAAAACCAAUUCCAAGAUGAUUGCUGAAGUUAGAAAAACAUAAGCAGGGGGUGAGUCUUUUUUUGGGGUUCUCAGACGUUCUCCGCUUUAUCCAAAAGUAAGAAAAACUUAAUUAAUUAUUGUUUCUUCCAAAGAAUUAAACUCUAACGGUGUCAAUUUUGACUUUGUAUUCUACAUAUUAACUUCUUCUUUAAUGAUAAUUUAUAUUAAUAUUUUAUGAGUGAAAGUUCUUUUUUACGUUGAAUUGAUGCAGGUCAAAAAGGAAAAUAGAAGAAUUACAGACGAACAUGUUUCCCUGAUAAUCAAUUUACAGUAAGGACACAAUUAAGUACAAUGUCAUAAAACUUGCAACUGUCAUUUAAAGGGAAUUCUCACAACGCAGUAGCAACUUGUGUGGUGGGUGCCUCUCACAGCAAGAACAACUUCAUGUUGUCAGUUUUCAUGCGUGUAUUAAAAAGCAAAACACACAAAAACACCAAUCAACUCCCUUCAAUAAAAUAUCAAAUCGAAAUAUAAAUUUCCUUGUUAUGGCAGAGUACAGUACUGAACAACACUACAAUCUAUCAUGUAUCAACAUUUCAUGUGUUCUACGAGAAGGAUGUUUUCAUGCUGGCACUUCUCUUCUUUCUCCUCAAUAACUUCCUCCACAAACUUCCACUUCCUGGUUUCUUAGCAGGUACAAUGGCCAAAGAAUUAUCCGUACUUCUGUCUUCAUGGCCUUUAACACCGUUCAAAACUAAAAUCUUUUCUAGGGGCUCUAUAACGCCAGGAAUUAUGAGAUUGGAGUUGCCAUCACUUGCUUUGGGAAUCUGGGCUUUAGAAUCAUCAGCUAGCAUCUGAUCAAGUAGAGAACGAGUUUUCACUUUUAUGACCUUCGGAUGAGUAGGACUUGGAUCUACAUUAGCUGUGGUGCUUAUGGUGGUGGCGGUAUUAUUGGUAACUGUAUUAAAUUGGGUGGCAACAACACUGUCAAAAAGGGAUGCAUCCUUUGGUGCAGCCAUUGCUUUCAACUGUUUUCCAAGAUUAAGGAUAGUUUCUUGACACUCUGCCAACUUUUCUGAAGCAGCUGUUAUCUCCCAAUCCUGUGAGAUUGAUUCGCACUCCUCAACUCAAUACCAACACAAGCAUAACAGAACUGAGUUCGCACAGGUAAUAUAGUUCAUAAUACACAGAAUAAGACCCACCUUGGAUAAAGUUUUCAACAAACAGUAGUAGGAGAAGCAAAAAAGAAGUAAAUGAAUGAAAUUUCUCUCAUAAAUUAAAGUUGAACUUGUGCACUAUCAUUUUUCUGUUAGCUUUCUUAUUCUAUCUUCUUCAAAAAAACGAAAGAACUUGAUUUUAAGGUUUUAAUUCAUAGGAGAAGAAUUUGAUUCAUUUUACCUCCCUGUUUCUUCACCUAUAAUUGCCUAUGGAGAAGUUUACGCAAAUUAGGACUGAGUGUAGUUAAAUUAAAACUUAUUGCUACACAGUCAUAUUCCAUGGUAGAUAGUUCCUUUUUCAUUCCAAUUUUUUCCUAUCAUUCUGAUUGAUACUUUGCAAACACCAAACACAUCAUUAGAGAUUCAUUUUCAUUUCUUUGGACAACUUGUAAUGAUAAAGAACUCUGCUUUGAUGUUUUCACAAAGAAACUGACCUAGUUAUUAAAAUCAAAAUCACUACUUCACUUAACUAGAAAAAGUAUUGAGGGGAUGUUUUGCCUAGAUCUAAAUUACUUGCUCCAAAAAGAGCAUAUAGAUCUCGAAGACAGAUUACCUUAUUUAAACAUGGAGCCAGCCACUGAAGCUGCCUAAUCUACAGAAAAUUAUAUGAUGAUUAACUCUAGAAUGAAGUCUAGAGGGACACACAAAUUAUAGUAGAAUAAUGCUGGUUUUUACUAUAUUAAGACCAUAUCACUCAGCCAUAAUUAUGUUUUGAAAAGAAAUAUGGCAAGUUGUUGUAUUGUAUCACUACUAUCUAGCAGUUUCUUGCAUCUUAUUGCAGAGGAGUACACUACUCGUGAUACAGAAAGUAUGAAGAUCCUGUUUAUGGUAAGACUUGGUAUCAUAGAUGGGAAAAUUCAAUUAAGACUAUGUCAUUGGAUAUAUUGCUUACUGCUUACGUGCUCCAAAUUGGUAUUUUUAGUGCUAAUAUGAAAGGCAAGUUAAAGUCUUGUUACUCCAAAUACUAGAAGUGCUAAUAUUGUUCUUAGAGGAAUCAUGGUUCCUCUUGAUCAAGUAUUCUUAAAAAUUACUCAGGAACCAGUAGUCUGACUAUGAAUCAACAAGAAAAAGGACUGGGAUGAGAUGAACUUACAUUGCGCAGUGGCUUAUCUUUGUCAAUAAUAUCAUGUUUUGAGCACUGCUUUGACAUGCUGAGAACAUUAAUUUGACAUGUGAAAAUAAACAAUUAUAAAUUAAAAGCCAUAUGUUCAAAAAGCAUAUUGAACAGAAACAAAUACGAGGGUGUUUCAUACCUUUCAAGCUGGAGCUGCAAUUCAAGACACUUGGCCUCUAAUUCUUCACAAUUGCUGUUCUUAUUCUCCAGUUCCAAUUCUAAAGAAAAAAUCUUGUUGCGAGCCGCUUUUAGUUCUGCUUCUGUAUGCUGUGCAUCAAGAUUUGAAUUUAUCAGUUUCUGAUUUUUUAUUUCAUUCUCAAGUUGUCCAUUGGAUUCUUUAAAGGAUUGUAUCUCCAAUCUCAAGCUGUCGAUAGUUUUCUCUGAUUCCUGGAUUUGAUUCACUAAGGAUUCAAUCCUAUCAGUAGCUGAUUGAAGCUUCCCUUCCAAGACUUCCUUUUGAGAUUCAGCACUGAUUAAUUUAUCUUUAAUAUCUGUAAAUUCUUUCUCAUUAUAAUAUAUCUCUCCAUUCUGAAGAUCAUGACCACAUGAAGUAGUUAUUUGAGGCAAAGAUGACAAGUUUUCUCUAGGAAGUUGCAACUUCUCUUUCUCUGCCAAAUGAAUUGUCAGCUCAUUCUCUAUUUCACCUUCACUACGUGUCUCAUCCCAGUCAAAUUGUUUCUUGAUAGCAUCCCUCAUACUAGAAACAUCCUGAAGGGAAAAGCAGUGGUUUAUAAUCCAAUCCAGUGCCGUUGUUAGUCCUUUCGCAAAAUUUCCAUAAUCGGCCUUGCCACUGAGUAAAUCAUAACACACAUGUAGAAAUUCCUCUAUGACUUUACUGAGUUCAGAUGUUUUCCACUGGAAAACACGGACCAUGUAGCCAGUUGGCAUUCCUAGAUUCUUGUAGGAAAAGAUAUCCCUGCCUCCUUUCUGCAAGGGAUCUGAACUAUCAUAUUCCACGGCUGGCAGGAUUCUUUCAACAAUUUCAAUUACCUUUCCAAUUGAUUUACUCAAAUCUUCCUGAGAAAGUGGUUCGAUUCUCUUUAUUGACAAGAUGUCAGCAAUAUUUUCACCAGCGGAUGGAUUAACCACUAAAGAACUAUCUGAACAUGAGAUGCAAUGAAUACAUUGGGGAGGAUUCUGUGUGUCAAUAUGAACUGAGCCUCUGCUUGAAUCAAAGUCACACAGAUCGAAAUCAUUCACAUGCCUCAAAGCCACUCUAAUAUCAUGAAGUAUAUCAUCAGGGCCUUUGUGAGUAACAUGGUUUUGUUCCAGGAUUGUUUUUACUACAUCCUGAAGCCAACCAGGAACAGUGCCCUUAAAUAUGUCAAUGGAGCAAGUGUUCUUAUUUGACUUUGAGAGGUCUGAAAUGUGAUCAGACAUUGGAAUGAUCUCCAUACCUACUACUUCCGGGGUGGUCUCGGUUGUCUGGGACAAAAUGUGAUCAGGCACUGGAAUGAUCUCCUUACCUUCUCCAGGAGUGCUCUCCUUUGUACCAGUCUCUGAGAUGCUAUUGAUCUCAGUAACAGCUUUCAAAGAAGCAGAUGGACUUUGAGUGGCUUUUUCAACAGAGACCACUGCUAAUUUUUCCAUUUCAACAAAGUCAUCCAUAAGAUUUAUGUCUGAAGCACCAACACUUUUGCAUGACAACGGUUCCUUUUUCUUUUCACUUCUAAAGUGAUCCAAUUCUGAAAUCAAUGCAGAAGCCCAGGACUCCGCACAGCUAGCCUUGUCAUCACUGCCAGCAUCAGACAAUGAUGCAAAAGAGAACUCGUGUGAUGCAACGUUACUUCUAUGAUGUUCCACACUUAAAUGCCCUUUAUGUAAGUCUUCAAUCUGCGACUCAAGAUGCAAAAGUUUGGAAGCUGUGCGAGUAAGCAUUACUCUCGAGAAUUGAAGCUCAUUCAUUUUCCUAUUUAGGGAUUCUUUUAAAACCUUGUUUUCUUCUUCCAAAGCACAUAACUGCUCUGUCAAAGUAUUGAUUUUUGUAAUGGGAGUCUCAGGAGAAUUGUCAACUGAAGAUUCAACCAGUAAAUUGUUUGUGCUCAAUUUACUCCUCCUUAUUUCAAAUGAAUCCCGUCCCAACAUUUCAACUUCAUUUUUCAUUUUUGCCAGGGCAGCAGGACCUGGUAACCGUUUCCGGACCAGAAGGCGCAGCCUCUGACAUUCUAAUUCUAACUUGGCAAUUUUUUUGGUACUCUCUAAUUGCUGCUUGUGAGAAGCCUCAGCUGUCCGACGACUAAACUCCCUCUCCUCAUUCCGGAUCUCAAGUUCCUUCUCAAGCACACGAACCUCAUAUGUCAGAGAGGUAUUAUCUUUCUCCAUGGACUCUAAUCUACUCAUGAGUGCACCAUGAUCUUCCUCAGCUUGAGUCAACUGUCUUCUCAGAUCUUGAAUCAAAUUUUCUCUUGCAAAUAUGGAUUUAUUAAGAUGAGAAUUAUCAACCUCAGCUUUUGCAAGCCUUUUACUUGUCUCAGAUAAUUGCUCCUCCAAAACCAUGCGCUCCUUUUCAAAUUCUUUUGAAGCCUUCAUCACAGCAUCAUGAAUCCUUUGCUCUUGUUCUUCUCGAACAAAUCGUAACUGCUGCAUACAUUCCUUGAGAGCUCCAUCCAAAUGAGCUACUCUCUCUUCAUAAACUAUACGCUGAUGCAAAGCUUCAUCCAGAUCUUGCUUCAUAGACAACACUUCAGCUUCUGCCUUCUUCAAACCUUCAAAAGAAAGAAUUUAUCAGUGAUUCAUAAAAUAACACUAAAAACAAUUUAAAUAGCGGCUAUUUAUCUGCUUUUCACGUCCCACAUUUCAAGGUAAUGAAACUGAAUACACACACAUAGAUAUUGAAGAAUGCUACCUGCCAUUGCUUCUUGUGCAACUUUUGUUUGUUUCUUCACCAGCUCAUUUUUUGCAUUACAGUCAGAAAGUGCUGAAUCAAGCUUGUUAUUUAAUCUUUUCAAGUCCUUCUCUAAUUCAUCUUUAUCAGCUACAAGUGCCUGAACCUAAAAUAAGACAAACUACCAUUUAUAUCAAUAAAUAAAGCAAAAAGUUUGCAGAAACUUCUUCUGGUAUAAAGACAGAGUACAUCGCUGUUGGAAUUUAGUUUGUUGGAAGGUGACCAUUGAGCAAAAAAUUCAUGAUGGCUAAGGGAUGACAGAAUCCCUCUUGGUCAGUAUUUCUCUUCUAGUAAAACUCAUUCUGCAACUUAUUAAUUUGGAGGAUAAGCCUUGGAUCAAAGUGAUAAUCAUAUCUAUAGUUGAUAUGAGAUCUUCAAUACACCCCAUCAUGGCAAGGACAUUGGACGUCCUUAAGAAUAGAGGGCAUCAUAAUAACGAGUGAUACAAUAAGCCCAAUAAUUAUCAUUAGAAUAGACACUUAAAUGCUCUACUACCAUCUUAAGAUAACAUAAUUUAAGCCUAACUUAAUUCUAUAAAACUGGGUUAAUAAGAUAAAGUUUAUACCUGCUUAUAUAUUAUUAUUACUAUUUUGUCAUAUCUCUUGUUGUGAAAAAUAGGCUAGACUUCUAUUUUUUAUAUGGAAGAAUGACUCUUGUAUCUGGCUGAAUAUUCUAAAGGGCUGUUUGUUAUCUGCGCCAGGGAUUCAUUCCUAAAGGGGUCUGGGACCUUGGCUUUGUUCUUUGAUGACUGGACAGGGAUGGGUCCGUUUGCUCACCAAGUCCAUUUUGCUCACAUUGCUGAUAUUUGGAAGGAAAGAAACUGGACUUCAGUGGAGUUUAUACUUUGCCUCCUAACUCUACUAUCCAAAUUAUUAUCAACAUUAAAAUAACAAUUAAUCCUCAAAGAACCUAUCUUUUAGCCUCCAAUGGACGUGCUUCUGACAAAUAUUCAUCAGCAUCAGCCUAUUUGUGGUUAUGCCAGAAAUACAAAAUUAUUCAAAUCCAAUUUGGUAGUGAUUAUGGCAUAUUUCGAAAUUUUGUUUCUUCUUCUGGCGGGUCCUUUAUUUCUUCCUACUAAUGCUAAAAGGUUUCAAUGUAACUUAGCUAUCUCUGCUGGCUGUCCCAGAUGUCCUGACCUAGUGAAGACAUUCUUUAACCGUUGCAUGACUGCCCUCAUACAAAAGAACUUUGGCUUAGAUCAGGAAUAGAUUCAAUAAACAUCCUGAAAAGUUACAACUAAUAAUGUCAAUUCGUGGAUUAUCCAUAUCCUCUCCUUUAGUGAGUUGUCUUUAGUCCCUGCAGUUAUAUGGUGGGCUUUGCGUUGGAGAAAUAACUUCAUUUUCUCUCGGGGUAAAUGGCCCUUCAGUAUUUCCUAAGGGUGAUCAAAUUAUCUGAAGCUGAUUGUUUUAUCCAUAAUUCAAUCUUGAGUGAACACUUGUGGAAAUUGCCUUUGUGAAGCUUAAUGCGGACGGGAGCUAUUAUGAUUCAAGUACUGGUAGAUGGCUGUUUGGAUUUUCCAGUAUGAUGAGGCCUGGUGAUCAUAUUCUAGCAGAACUUUCAGCUAUUAAAGCUGGGAUAAUGAACUUUUGGGUAAAAGGAUACUAUUGUGUGGUUUGUGCAACAAAUUCCUGGGAGGUGUUUCAUAUCCUUCAUGUGUGGAAUGAGGACACGGUGAUACAGAUUCAUCAGUAUAAAGAUAUUCUCCCUGAUAUUCACAGCUAUUUGCAAAGAGGUUGGCAGUGCAUAUUGAUCCAUAUUUCACGGGAUAUAAAUAAUUUUGCAGAUCUGUUAGCAAAUUGGGCGUCUCACAGAGCCUGCUGAGAUUGUUGUGGUUGGGAUUGUCCUCCAGAUAUCAUAGCUUCUCUGGGUUAUGACUUAGUAUAUAACUAAAGUAGACUUUUUUCUUCUUUUUUUACCUUUGUUUACUUUUCCUUGUGUACCAAAAAUAACACAAAAACUAAAGUUUAGAUAGUCCUCAAAGUAUGAUGAAUAGAUACACCAGAAUUAUAUUGCCAAUUUUAUAGUCAUAAUAUUUCAGAACAAAACGCACAGGAAAAAAAAACUAGAUUAUCAUUCUUAUUGAUAAGGAUAGAAGGUUAAUUGAUGAAGUACCGACUUAAUACUCGUAAAUAGGAGGAAGACAAGUGAAGAAAAGACAAGGUUGCAACUUGCAAGAAGCCAGCUUAAUCAUGGUAUUGAACAAAAUAAAUAAUUAAUGCUCAAAAAUUUAAAUCACCUCCUCAUUUUCUUUUGAAGUGAGAUCCGUGUUGUCAGCUGCUAUAAUUGUCUUUUCUGAGGAUUUUUUUCUCCAAAGCCACGUUUUCUGAUCCAUAAUGCUAAAAGCUUUAGUAGGGAGGAACCUACACCAAGUCAAGGCCAGUGGAAAGGAAGUGUGCUACUGUAAGUCUAACAUUGAAGGAUAAGUUCAUCUUUAAACAGAACAAGCGUCCCAGCUAACAAAAAUAAAGUAUAAAAUUCAGUACAAAAUAAUCAAGAUUUUUUUUAAUUACUUUUAUAAAUAGAUUUAUGAUCUCCACAGAGACACACUGUAUAUCAAGAUUAUUCCCAAAACAAAUUAAAUUAAAUUGCGAGAGUAUAUCAACAUGACUGCAGAGUAUAUAACUUAAUCACCAUGGAAAUAAUAUUAGUAACCUCGAUAUGUACUCGCCUAGUGUUCAGCCAGAAACUUACAAUCAAAAUAUACAAAUUCGUACAUUCCAUAAAACAUAAAUCCAUCACAGUUUUCUGUUUAUACAAACAUGACAAAACAUAAGUCCUAAAGCAUAUCAGCCGACAAAAAAAAAUCUCAUGCAGCAGAAAAUCACGACGAGAAAAAUGCUCUUUCCCCCUCUCCCACUGAGAGGAACAAACCAGACAAGAUAUACAAACUCAUUUUGCUGUAAACAAAAAGUUUUAGAAAAUAAGAACAAAAGCAGAGGUUUUGUGUCAUACGUGUGCGUGUGUAUAUAUUUAUGUUUCCAUGUCUAAGAAAGGGUGUAUUAGGAGGUUUCUGACCUCUAUGGAGAAAGUUUGAGGUUGUGCAUGGAAUGGAUGAUCGAAAAGGUUAAAAGGGCAAUAACUGAACUGCAAUAUGGUGUGGAGGAGUGGAGUUAGAAGCGUGGAAAUAAGAAUGAGUUAGGAGAGUUGAGGAGUGUUUGAAGGUUGAAGGUUGAGACAUCAAGAGUUGGAAGAGAAAUGCGCAUGAUGUGUGAUCUCUCACCAGCGGAGAGUGGAGGAGUGAGAGAGUGAAGCAACCAUAACACCCACAACCAGCUCAGCUUUCUUUGUAGAGUGAGAGAAAGUGUUUGGUAAGGGAGAAAAAAGGGGAAGAAGUGAAAAGAUAGAAGAGUGAAGAGAAAAUGACAGAAAAAAAAAAUAAGGAAGAAGAAGAAGAAGAAGAAGAGAGAGAAAAGUGUCGGCUUGGUGCUUUUAUUGGAUCUGCCAACACGAGAAUCGAGGACUGGGAUACUUUUAUAUGUGGGGAAAAUUAGUAACAAAAGACGAGAACUUUCAGAUACACGUGUACUACCGAUACCUGAGUUAUGCAGUUAAUUUCGUUAAAUAAUAUCUUACCUUUAUAAUAUUAACUCAUAAACGAUUUAAAAAUUACUUUUUAAAUCUAUAAAUUAUUUUAUAUAUUAAAUAAUAUUAAUUUAUAAUAAUUUUUAAUGUUUAUAUUAAUUUUUUUAUAAAAAAUAAUGUAUAUUAAUUUUAUAUGAUAUAUUUAACCAGCUUAAAUAUUUUUUUAUGAAACAAUAAUCAUUAAUAAAGUAAAUAAGUUAACCACUAUCUUAUUUAAUUAAUUUAUAAAUUAGUGUGAUCAAUGGUUUAAUCAUUCUGAAAGUCUCUAUUUUGGGUGACUUUUUUUAAUUAGGUUUUUCAUUUUUUCUUUUUUUCAAUUGGGUUCCUAUUUUUGAAAAAUUGAAGCAAUUAGGUCAUUGUCGUUAGUUCCGUACUAACACCGUUAAAAAGGGUGACACGUGUCAGUUCGUGAUUUUUUUGAAUUUUUUAAAUAUAUUUUUAAUUAUUUUUAUUUUUAUUUUUUAUUUUUUUUUCUUUUAAAAAUAAAAUUUGCCACGUGUUAAGUUGACAUUGUGCCACAUAGCAAUGACUGUGUGAGGUGGCACUGACAGUGCCACGUGUCACUGUCAAACCACGUGUCAUUGCGUUUGUUUCAAUUUGGUCAUUGUAUUUUUAUUUUAUUCUAAUCUGUUCCUUGUAUUUUUGUUUUGUCUCAAUUUAGUCAUAAUUUUUUUAAAAAUUUAAAAAAAUUUGUUCCUUCCCAAAUAAGAUACAGUAUGUACAUUUUCCAAAUUUUAAAUUUAUUUAUGUUAAGCAAAUUAUUAGUAAUGAUGUAUUUCAAAUCGAAAUAUUUAACUCUAAAAACUUUUUAUGAAUUGUUGAGGAAGUAUUGAGACUAUACUUGUGUAGAUUACCUUCACAAAAAUAUUUAUUAUUGUGAUGUUAACUUUUAUAGGUUACUCAUUCAUAUUAUUUAGGUUAAAUGAUUUCUUUACUACUAUAUAAAUAAAAAUGUGUCAUAUGUUAGUUUGUAAUUUUUUUAUUUUUCUAAUAAAAAAAUUAAUUUGUAUAAAUUUCUUUGUAAAGAUUUAUAUAUAAAUAAAAUUUUGUUUGAACUUGGAGAGAAACAAAAUUGUUUAGUUUUUUUAAAAAAUAAGACUAAAUUAAGACAAAAUAAGAAUACAAGGACUAAAUUGAGACAAAUUAAAAAUAUAGGGACCAAAUUGAGACAAAUCUAAUGACACGUGGUCUAAUAGUGACAUGUGGCACUAUCAGUGCCACCUCACAUUGUCAUUGCCACGUGGCUCAAUGUCAACUUGACACGUGGCAAUUUUUUUUAAAAUAAAAAAAAAAAUUAAAAAUAAAAAUAAAAAUAAUUAAAAAUAUAUUUAAAAAAUUCAAAAAAAUCACGAGCUAACAUGUCACCCUUUUUAACGGUGUUAGUACGGAACUAACGACACUGAUCUAAUUGGUUCAAUUUUCAAAAAUAGAGACCCAAUUAAAAAAAAGAAAAAAUGAAGGACCUAAUGGAAAAAAAUUACCGAAAAUAGGAACUAUCAUAAUUAUUAAACUUAAUAUAUAAUAUAUUAGUGUGUUUGACAAUAUUAUAUACUUUAGUUAAUACAUUAGUGGUUCAUUAAUAAGCUUAUAAUAUAUGUUUUAAAUUGAUAAACUAAUUUAGUAAACUAUAAGGUAUUUGGUCAAAUUAGUUAAUCAAUUAGUCAGUACAUGGUAAAUGACAUAAAAAUACAUAAUAAAAAUACAUAAUUAUAUAAGUUUGUUGUAUAAAUAAAUAAAAUAUGUGGUUUGUAAACCAAAGUAUGUUAAUUUGUAAUUAUAGUUGUGGGUUUUUUUUUCAAACAGUUAAAUUCUUAUUAAAUAUUUUAGUAGUUUUAUUUGUUUUCUAAUAAUUGUAUGUAUAAUUUUAUUUUGACAAUUGGUUUUAUUUAAAUCAAUUACUGUAAUGGGUAUUGAUUAAUUAUUUUAUUUUUCUCACAAAUUUAAAUUAUUAUAUUCUCAAUCUAAAUAACUUAUACAUUGAGUUUCUUCCUUGCAAUUUGUUUUACAUAAGGGAGUAUUACAAGACGUAUACACAUUGCAUGCUUAUUUUCUAUACUUUUAAAAGGUUUAUAUAUAAUAACUUUUCAUAUACUUUAAAGCAAGUAAGAAAUCAAGUGGGUCUUGUUCUUAUGAAAUUGUAGACUUCAUUUGUGUUUAUGUGCAAGGUUUAUUUCAAAACUUGGUUUUUAUUUUGUAUUUUUCCUUUACUUUUGAUUAAUAUAAUUGUUUGGACUUUUUUAUCGCACAGCUCACCCCUUUCCCUUUUCUUUUUAUGGGAGUGUAACCAUAUGGGUAAAGUCUAUACCUUUUAUAAAUAAACAUGUCUUAUUUCUUUCAAAUCAUACAUUCACUUGUUUUCUUUUUUUUUUUUCUUCUAUGUUGUAUGCUAAGUUCUUAUUAAUUUAAAUUAAUCAAUGUAAUGAGUAUUUUUUGUUUUUUACAAAUUUAAAUUAUGGUAUUUCUCAAUCUAAAUGACUUAUACAUCAAGUUUCUUUCUCGAAAUUUGUGGGAGUAUUACAACACUUAUUAUACACAUUGCAUGCUUAUUUUCUAUAUUUUUAAAUGGUUUGUAUAUAAGUGUUUUUUUCAAUAUUUAUUUUUAACUAAAGUCGUUAUAUUUUGUAAAUAGAUUUAGUACGAUUUUAUUUUCUCAAUGGUAUUAGUUUAGCUAGGAGCAAUGUUUACAACUCAUUAUUAUAUUGAUAAACAAAAUAAAUCAUCUCAUGGUCUUAAUAUAGUUAUCCGAAAAAAAUAAUCAUAAUAAUAAAAUAUAUCUAAAGCAACUAAGGAAAAACUAUUUCACGACAAAGAAGAAUACUUUCCAAUAUUUCCACUAAAGAUGUUUUCACACCUAUCAUUCAUUUUGUCAUAAAUAAGGUGAUUAUCGUAAACUAAACAAACAAACACAUAAAAAGUGUCAAAAGAAACAAUAGAGUAAGCUAAUGUGUAAAAACAUUUUCAUAAAAUAAACAUAGAGAUAUUAUCAUACAUAACUCAUUCAUAAAAAUAAUCAUAUCACAUAUAAAGACUCAUACUAGACUCAAUUAUUGGAAUACAUGUAUUGAUAUUAGAUUUUGGUGAGUUAUACACUUUUAGUGGUGGAAAAACUCGCUCGCCCAAGCUCCAACCUUCACCCGAGAGGGGGGUACCUGUAAAGGCACUCCGACGAUCAAGUUAGAUGUCGGUAUAGGAAGAUCCUCGAUCCUCAGCAAGUUGAUGCCUAGAAUGGAGAGAGGAUUGAUACUCAGUUAGGUGUGAGAGUAUGAGUGUGAGAGAGUGUUAGCGUGAUAAUAGCAGAGAGUAUGCUAAAUGUGCGUACCUUGUUUGGAGUCCUUAGCCCUUUAUUUAUAGGCUCUAGAUUGAUAAGAUUAGUAAAAUAUAAAAGAAUAAGAUAUAAAACCCUUAGACUAGGACCUCGUGUACCUCUCACCACACGCAUCACCCUUAUCUACUUGAAAUUGUAUGGUUAUUAGAGCGACAAGAUAACUCUCAAUACUAAAUUCAUAUAUUAAUACAUGCACUAAAGAAGUGUCAUUAUAGAAUCUCUUAACCAGAUCCUUGAAAUUAUGUCAAACACAUACAAUGCUCAUAUCUAUUAAUAAGCUCAUCAUGAUCACAAUUUCACACAUCAUUUUUCACAUGUAUAUUUAUCCAUAAAUCUAUCAACUAUUCUCACAUAAACAUCAUAAACCAAUUAUUAUUUUAACAACAUAAAAUCAUACAUUAAACCUACCAAAAGAGUACAUAUAAAGUUAGUAAGUAGUACUCAAAGGCCCACUCAUCCACAACCAGAUAGCUCACCCAUCAAAAAUAUCAUUGGAACUCACAGACUUAAAUUUUUAAAAAGUUGUCCAAUGAGACUUUCUCACUCAACUUUUGUCAUGUCAGUAAACUCUCUGACUUUGGUUCUGCCCAACGAGUAUAUUUUCGCCUAAAGAUCACCAAGUCAAUGGAUCUUUGACUUUGGCUUCAUCCAACGAACAUAUUCUCACCCUAGUCUGCAAAAUUUUGCAAUAGAGUUAUGUCAUUUUAGCCUUGCAAAUUCAGUUAAAAAAAAUACAUGUGUCAAAACAUGCAAAAUUUGAAUUACACAACCUUCACUAAUUCGAACAAUAUCAUAUCCAAAACCAAUUAGACAACAUUCCAAUUUUAUUACAAUUCAAGCAAGCCAAAUCAAAAACUAUAAUCUCAAUUUAACCUAUCAUAUUUCAUCACACAGCUCAAUCAAACAAACAAAUCAUUAUACAAUCACACAAACAAAUCAUCGUACAAUCAUAUAAUUAGCAAUUACAAAAUAUCAAUCACAUAAAACUGUGCAACCAACUUUCUUUACCGAACCAAUAGCUCACAAGAUCCUAACCAAUGAAACUCCUCUCAACUUGCAGAGUGUUGUAUCUAGACAUUGAAACAUCACUUAUCAACAAAAACUCUUAUAGAUGACUAAAAAGAUCUUGCAAGUGGAAGAAGACUCACAUGCAACAUAUAACCAAAAAGACCAAAAUAAAAAAUAUUGAAACUCAACUUAUACAAAAGAAGAAAAUAAUCAAUCUAAAUUGAAGAGCUUGUCCCAAUAAUUAAUCAUAUAGUUUUAAUUUUUCAAUCAGACCAACAAAAAGGAAGAACUCUUAAAUAGAAGUCACAAUAAAACUAAAAAAGUGGUUUAUAAAAAGAUAACAUGUUUUAAAAUAAUAAAGUUCAUUCAUAACAAUACUAUUUAUAUUAAAAUAUAUAUAAUAUUUAAAUAAUCGAGUAUCACUAUUUUUAAAGUAUUGUCACUCUUAAAAUAUAAAUUUUUAAGCACAAAAACAAUAAACCAAAUGCAAAAUUGAAUUAUUUGAAUUGAGAAAAAGAAAAGAAAUUAUAAAAAUAAUUUCAUAUAAAAGCUUUUUAAGAAAAUAAUAUGAAUUAGAGCUAAAUAAAUUUUAAACUAAAAUAAAAAAUUAUUAUAAAUUUUUUUAAACUUUAAACUAAAAUAAAAUUUAGAGCUAAAAUCUCUAAAGGUAUUUUUAACAAAACAAUAUAAAUUACAGAUAAAAUAAAUUUUAAAAAAAUAAAAAAUUUAUUAUAAAACUGUAUAAAUUUUAAACUAAAAUAUUAAUUAGAGCUAAAAUAAUGUUUAAAAUAUAAUAAAAAAGUUGUAAAAAAAAAUUUAAACAUAAUUUUAUAUACAAAUAUUUUCUUAAGAAUAGCAUAAAUUGGAGCUGAAAUAAAUUUUAAACCAAAAUAAAAAAAAUAUUAUAAAUAUUAAAAUGUUAAAUUAAUUUCUUUUAUAUAUCAUUUUAUUUAUUAUUUUUAUAUUUUUUUAAUUAUUUAUUUAUAUAAUAUAAAGGCAUAUUAAAAACAUAUCAAAAUUAAAUUACAUUUAUUUAUUUAAUCAUUUCAAUAUUUUUACUUUUAUUAUCUAUGUUAUUAAUAUAAACAUAUAUUAACAAUAAAAUUAUUACUUAGACUACCAACGUUUUUAAUAUAAUAACUUAUAAUAAAAUAUAUAUAAAGGUAAUUAUAAUUUUAAAUAUAGUUAUUAUUUUGCAGAUAAUUUAUUAUUAUUUAAAUAAGAGUUAAAUAUGUUUUUAGUCCCUAUCCUUUGGGGCGAUUUUGGUUUUAGUCCAUUUUCAAACUAUGGUACAAUUUAGUCCUUCAACUUUAAAAAACUCUGGUUUUAGUUUUUUUUACCAAUUCUUUUUAAUUUUAUUUGUUGUUUCAAGCACGUUUCUUAGUUAACAUUGAAGCAAAAAUGUGUCAAAAAGUGUAAACAAUCCAAAUGCUAUAAUGAAAUGUGUUUGAAACAACAAAUAAAGUUAAAAAAUAUUGGUAAAAAAGACUAAAACCAGAGUUUUCUAGAGUUUAAGGACUAAAUUGUACUAUAAUUUGAAAAUGGACGUCGUCCCAAACAUAUUUAACCCUUUAAAUAACAAUUUAUAUCAUUAACUACUUGUGGAAACAUUUAUUCGUGUUAAAAAAUAAUUCUAAAAAAUUAAAUAAAAUGUAAGAAUACUUUAGUUAAUAAAGCAAAUAAAAUCAGUAGUAAAAUUGUGUACAGUAAAAUAUGUAAACUCUUCAACAGUGACUUCCAUUCACUUUUUCUUAUAAUAUGGAUAUGUAAUAUAGAGAUAUAUCUUGUAGAAAUAAUGUUUCAUUUGCAUCUAAUAAUUUAAAAAAUUCACAUAUUAUAAAUAUUUUAUAGAAUAAGAAAAAAUUCACAUAUUAGAAAUAUUGUAUAGAUUACAUGAACCUUGUAAUCAAUCACAGGAACAUGUAAUUAAUUAUCAGGAUCUAAAAGUCAUUUGUACAAAAAAUUCUACCAUACUCCAGUUGAAAUAAUAACAUUUCUUAUGAUGAUUUUUGCUUUGUUUUUGUAAAAUGUUUCCAUUUUUUUAUAUGAGUGAAUUAUUUCAAUAUUAUUAGAUGUGUUCCUUACAUCAAUAAUGAAGUUAAGCCAUUAAUUUUUCAAAAUAAUGUCCAUUUAAGUAGUUUACUUUAGUUUCGAUAAGGUGCAUGAUCAUUGUUUUUUUUUUUUUUAAAUCUGAUAAAGGAUUCAAAAUAUAAAUUAGAAUUUGAUUUGGUGAAAACUAAAUUCAAAUAUAUUUUUUUCUAUAAAUACUAAAAAAAUAAAAAAAAAAAUUGAUUUUCAAAAAAUCAAAUUAUAACCUACUUUUAUAAUUAAAAAACAAUCAAAAUAUAAUCCAGAAAUCGAAAUAUAACUUACAUUUAUAAAAAAAAAAUUAAAAUAUAUGUCAGAAUCCAAUUUUUCAGAAGUCAAAUUCCAACUUAAUCUUUUAUCAAAAAUUAUGUAUAAUUAUCUUAGAAUUCGAUUUUAGAAAAAUGAAAUUUUAACCUAUAUAAAUUCUCGUAAUUUUACAAACGAUACCUAACUGACACUGUUUCUGUGAAUCUCAAGCUCUGCAGGAUUCUGCGUGGUCAAGGUUCGUGGGUUAUUGGUUGUCAAUAGUUCAUGAGAUUUUCUUGGGUUCGGCAUCACGUUAUUAAAUUAAUAUAUGCAGAAUCAAAUUAUGUGAAGAACAAAGUUAACAAAUUUAAUUUUAAAAUAAAUAAUAUUAACAAAUAUAUCACAAUUAUUGAUGAAUAAAAUUUCAAAUAUAAUAAGUUUAUUAUUUCAUUGCAUUAGGUGAUCUGAUUUUGCUUUCAUCCAACGGACUGGAAGAUAGUAAGUCCUUGUCUCUUUAACACUGUCUCAGUCCUGAUGCUAAAUAAAUAAGAGUGGCUAACAUUAUUAUUAACAGAAAAGUUUAUUUGAAAUAUGCAAAUUAUGGUAAAUUACAUUAAUAAUUUAAAUUUUGUUAGCUAGUAUGAUUAAAGUUUUAGUAAAUAAAAUGAUUAUGAGGAAGAAGAAAAGGAGUGGUUAUUAUGAAGAGUGAACUAAUUAAGGAUAGAAUGCAUUGCUUUAUAUGGGCAAAGACUUUGGCUUUACUCUUAGCAUAUUUCUGUCGAACUUUAUUAUUCUUAGCUUUAACAUUAAUGGCGAUUUUGAUAAUAAUUGAGUGAUAAUGUGGACUUGUGGACCCUAAUCUGCCUCAUGUAUUCAGUGGUUAGGAUGGGUUUACCUACAACACCAACAAAAGGAUGUGAGUCCAGGUUGUUUCCACUCUCAGAUAUACUUUAACAUAUCAUCAAGUACCAUUCGCAAAUCAUUUUCUUGCUGUUCAUUAACAAAUUCACAAAUAAAAUAUUGGUUUAAACCUCUUUUUGGUCCCUAAGUUAUAAGCGGAUGUUUAGUUUAGUCUCCGUUUUUAAAAAUGUAAAUCUUUGGUCCCUAAGUUAUAAAAAAUGUAUCAAAUGAGUCAUUUUUUGACUUGAAAUACUGUUUUUUGUUGUUUCUUAAAAACUGCUACAUCUUUAGAUUGCUCUGAUUUGUUUCUUAAUAAUAACAGCACUUUAGAUUGCUCUUUGUACUUUGACCAUGAACAUCAAAAAAGGACUCAUUUGAUACAUUUUUUAUAACUUAGGAAUCAAAGAUUUACAUUUUUAAAAGCGGGGACUAAACUGAACAUCUACUCAUAACUUAGGGACCAAAAAGAGGUUUAAACCUAAAAUAUUCUUAUUAGAAAUGUUAGAGGUGCACUCAAAAUUAAAGUCAGAGUUUAUAUUAGUAGUACAUUCAUAAUAAAAAAAUAUCAAAAAUUCUGCUUCUGGUCUUUGCAUUUUCUAUCAAAACUUAAUUUUAGGCUAUGUAUUUUUAAACUAAUGAAAUUAUAGUCUUCUGACUUUUAAAAAUAUAACAUUUUGUAUCCUUGAUUAUAUGGCUUUUUCGUUAACAAAAUAGUGAAAGAGAAGAAAUGAUUCGUUAAACUGAAAUAAUAGGUUCAAAAUUAUUUUUGACAAAAAGAUAUGGGAAUCCAAAACAUAUUUUUUUUUCUAAAAAAUAUAUUGAUAAUUGUAUUUCUAAAUGUGAGAAUCUAGAAAAUAGAAUAUUAGAGUUGAUAGUUGUAAAAUAAUGAGAUGUAGUAUUUUAAAAUUUAAAAUAAUUCAUUAAUAUAAAUAAAAUUUUUUGAACUCGUCUGAUUAUUUAAAACACAAACCAUUACUCUAAAAUUAUUCCUUUGUUCUCUCUAAAUUAUCUUACUCAUCAAUCAUAUGUUUGACAAUCAAGAAGUUUCUAUGAUAUAGCAAUUGAGUAAUUUUUGUUAAGAUAUGCUAAAUAUUCUAUUAAAGGAUAUUAGGCAAUCAAAUAUUGUGUUAGUUAUAAUUUAGAUAUUAUUUUAAUUUGUGCANAUUUGUGCACCUGUCAUUCCUUUAAUAGAUGAAGGAUUAUAGGAUCCUUAUAUGUAUAUAUAUGGUACUCUACUNUUUGAAAUAAUACAUCAGAAUUAUUCUUUAAAUCUUUUAUUAAUUUUUAUUUCUUACUGGUCAAUUUUUGGCUUAGAACAAAUAACUUUCUACCUUCUUUUCCUUUAACUUUCUGACUAUGAUCAUAUUAGAAAAACUUCUUUGCAUGUGUCCUUGAUAUUCUUUUUCUAGUUCUUUAUCAAUCUCUGAUUAAAGACUCACUCUAAUCAUAAUUUGGUGUUUUGUAGGCAUUUCUAGAAUUCCUUAAGUCAAAAGUAAAGGUUUCAACAUUCUUAAAAUUCAAUGACUUCGAUGUAAGGGAAACUAAACUUUACUUUAGAAUAUAUAUUUGCUUUGUAAAUUUAGUAUCUCUACAAUAUAAUUUAAGUGAAAUUGUUAAGUUUGUGUUAAUGUUCUUGAUGUUUGAAUGAUAAUCAAUAAUUGAGUGACGUUUGAAUGUUUGGUAUGUCGUGUUUGUAAUUCUUUUGCUGUUAUUAUUAUAUAUAAUGAAAUGUAUUGAUGUUUAAUAUUGAAUUCAAAAUUAUUGGAAUGAAAAGUAACCAAAUCAUCAGGUCUUAAGAUCAAAAGGAAAGGUUUUAAUGGAUGAGUUUGAAAAAUAAGUACUGAGAUAGAAAAACAAUUGUUUUAAGAUUAUUAUGAGGUAAAAUAAGACUUAGUAAAAGUAUUUUUUGAGUUAAAUUUGAUAUAGAACAAAGGAAUAGUUUAUACAAAGGAGUAGUAUAAUGAUAAAUUCAUCAUACCAUAGAACUUAAAUUUAAUUCAUUAAUAUUAUUCUAAUAAAUAAUACAAAUUACUUUAUAUAUAAUAAAAUAUAUUAACUCGGUUCAUUUUAUUAAAUUUUUAAAAUAAUAUUAUCAAAUGAUAAAUUUAUUUUUAUUAUUAAUAUUUUUUACUUUGAUUAUUUAUUAUAAAUACAAAAUACAUAUUUAUAGUAUUUAAUAAAAAGAAGUACGGAAAGCAAAUUUAAUGCUUCAUGAAACUGGGAAAUAAUUAUAAGUAUAAUAAUCCAUUCUUAUAAAUUAUAUUUUACGCGUACAGAAAAGGGACAAAGAGUAAUAGAUGUAAUUUUUAAAAGAUGAUGUUUGAUUAUUUUAAUAUUAAAAUUUUAAAAUAUAAAUAGUUUUUAAUAUUUGAGUUUUAUUUUGUAAAAUACUCUAUUUUUCUAAAAACUUUCUUUAAAACAUUAUUUAUAUUUUCUUUAUGUAUCUGACCCGGUCAUCUAUUUGAUGAUAAAAAUUCCCCAGUGAAGUUAUCACAGGGAAUUUUUUAUAUUUGGCCAAUCAAAUAUGAAAAUAUGGUAAUAAAGAUGAUAUUAUCCUCACUUUAUUAAGUAUGGACUCAUGUAUACUUAAUUACGAGAGUUGAAUGAUUAAAAAAGAAUUUGUAUUGGAUUCCCAUAUAUAUUUAGUUUAAAAUUUUAUUUAUGUGAUAGAUUGAAAAACUUAUUUUUAAAUAUAUUUUUAUUUAUUUUUAAAUCUUCUCAAAUAAAUAAUAAAAGUUUUAUUUUUAAAUUUUUUUUAAAUUUAUUUAAUGAUUCUUCUCCAAAUUUAUUUAAGUGAACAAAGUAUAAAAGAUACGUAUAAAUAUGACAAGUACAUAUUUUAGAGUCCCAGACUUGUUUUCUUAAGAUUUUGUCAAAUGUCUGUUUGUGAAAUUAUAUGAAUGUGAGGUGUAACAUGUGAAUUGAUGUAUGUAUUUUAUAGAGUUAUUGUUUAAAUUUUGUAGUAUGAUUUUAAUUCACUCUGGCUUACUCCGUGUUUUUUUUAAUGUAGUUAUCUAUUUGCUACGACUAUAAACUUUACCGUAGCAGAUAAUAAUACAAGUUGAGAAGAAGUUGUCAUAGAAUAGAAUGAUAGAUGUUGGAUAGUUAUAUUAUAGAUAUAGAUAAUAAUAUGAUGUAUUACUUUCUUUUCUUUUAAAAUUCAUACUAUAUGUUUUUUAUGUUUUUAUGUGGAGAACUGGACAUAAUAUUACAAAUUUUAUAAUAUACUUGUGUCCAAAAUAUAAUUAUGUAAUAGCCUUUUAAUAUUGUCUUCGUAUUAUAAUUGGUCGUUAGAUGUCUUAUAUUGAAAAAAUGGUAAAAUAUUUUUCAUGGUAAAAGUAAAUCAAUUUUAAGUAAAUUCAAAUGCUUAAGUAAUGAAAAUGUACUUUUUAUCUAGUUAAAAAAAUUCUAUUAUAAUAAAAAUGUUAUAUUAUUCUUAUUAAAUUUAAUAUGAAAAAUAUUUUUCUAACAAAAGCAGUACUGUAUUCUUUAAUUUUCUUAAACUUAUAUAUUUUCAUAAAUAUUUACUAUCAAACAAAUAUAUUUUUAUUAUUUCUGAAAAUCCUAAUUUAUAGAAAUAAUUUUCAUUCACAAAAACUUAUUUUAAUCAGACAUGUCUUGUCUGUGAAAUCAGGCCUGGUCUCUAAUUUGUUAACAAUUUUAUCUUCAUUUUCAUAUCAAGUUUUUUUUUUUUUUAAAUAGAAGGUAAAUAUCAAAUUCUAUUCCGUAUAUAACAAAAAAAAACCUUCAUUCAAUAUUAAAGAGAAAAUAUCAAUUUAUAUUUUUAAUUCUGAUACAUAUAAAUUAGUUUUUUUUUUAAAUUUUAAUAUAUUUUAAUUUUUAAAUUUUAAAGAAUCUAAUUAUAUUUAAUUUUUUUAUUUAUUUAUCAAAUCAACUUGUUAACUACAUUAAAAUAAGAAUAUGUGAAAUGAAAAGAAGUCAAAUGUUAUAACUAUGACCCAAGUAAAAAUAAUUUAACCUAAUUGAAGUAAAAAAAUUAUAUAUAUUAUUUUUAAAAUUUAACUAAAAAUAUAUUUAAUUCUAUAAUAAAUAAUAUAAUAUUGGUAAACAUAAAAAAGAAAAUAAAGAAUAAAUAUUGAUAAAAUGCAUGAAAUAUAAAUUUAUUUAUAUAUAUUUACAAUCUUUAUAAUAAUUAAUAUUAUUCAUUCGAAAAAGGAAUGAAAUAUUUUAUAAGAAAAAUAAAAGGGAAAAAUUAAUUUCUACAUUUAAUUUUUUUUAAAUAAUAAGACCAUUUUAAUUGAUAAAAAUAAUUUAUUCUGUUAUAUAUUACUAUAAACACUUGUUAAAAGAAUAAAAUAAUUCAUAAUAAUUAUAAAUAAAUAAAAACAUACAUUGUGGUUGGUUACAUUGGAUCCUACUGCAAGGCCAUACCAAGAUGGUGUACGUGGUUGCGUCAUUUAACGCAAAACUUAAUAACUGCCACCAUAUUUCAGUUCUGCUCUCUGCAGCAAGGACUCGGACUCGGACCAUUCAGAAGCUCAGGGCCCAUGUUUCCACGGAACAAUGGCCCAGAAGCGUAGAAAUAAAUUCUUGUGUUUAAAAGAUAAGUAAAAUUGCUAUUUUUAUCUUUUAAUCAUAAUUUUAUUUAUUUACAAUUUUUUAUGUCGUAUAAUUAAAUCAAGAUUACAUAAAUUUUUACAAAAUUUUUUAUUACAAUUAAGAUUUUGAAAAUUAUUAAUACUUUUCGUGAAAUAGAUUGUAUGUUCUUUCUUUAUUUUUUUUUUAUUUCUUAAACACAAACAUCUGAAAAUAAAAAAUAAACAAGUAUAAUAAUAUUUUUUAAAAUAUAAAAAUCAGGACGGUAAAGAUAUCUGUACUUGUAAGUAUAUAUCUAGUUAGUAUUUGCGUAUACUUAUUAUUCAUAUAUAAUAAAUAACGGAUAUUAACAUUAAUUUCAUUUGUAUUUCAUAAUGCUAUAAAUAAUUUGAAAAGUUUCAUACUAAAGACAACAAAUUAAGAAUAAACUAAAACAUAAGAGUCAUUUACCUUCAAAUCAAAAUAUGUUAAUCUUGUUACAAUAUUAAUCAUCUUAAUAACAUGCUUCAAUGUCCUUCAUGGCUUAUCAAAUUUUACAACACUAGUUUGAGCCAUUAGUGUACAAAUUAUAAACUUAGUAUAUUAAAUAGUGUUUACUAUUCAUGAAAUAUUAGAUUAGUAUUAUUUGUAAAUUAUUCACAAUUAAUUCAUUAAAUCAUUUUCAUGUCUUAAGUUUGGACUUCUCUUAGUACAAUUAUUAACACAGGACAAUUUUCUUUCAAAAGUGACUAGUUAAAGACUAAAAUACUUAAAAUGAAAUUGGAUUUGUUAACUUCAUUUAGAUAUACUCAAUCCAUUGAGAAUAAUAACAUGUGUAGUCUAUGAAUAAAAAAAAAAAAAAACUUCAUAAAAAUGUAUUCAUAUUAAAUAAAAAGUUAUUCUAUAGAUAUUUUUUGAAAAAAAUGUAUUAAGUAUAUUCAUAUUCUUACUAAUAAGUAUUUGAGUUUCAUAAUCAUGACAUUGAUAAAUGAGAGUAAAUUUAAAAUAUAUUUAUAUUCAUAUCUUAACACGUGUUUUAACUUAUAUUUUAAACACUUCAAGGUGUAUUUUGAUGACAUGAUAACGUUUUUUUUAGUUUAUCACAACCUUAUGUUUUAGUUAUAGUGAGGUAAACUAUCACGGAGUAAUAAAUUUCUAUUAGAUAAAUACACACAUUUAAUAUCUUACAUUAGUUCAAGUAUUUAGGUGUCAUCCUACAAUUAUAACUUCAACUGUUUUCAUUACAAACAUAUGCUUAAUUCAAGAUCAUAAUGCCAUUUUUUCUAUCAUAAAAUAACUCAUCAAAUUCACGCAUAAAAAUAUUGAUUGAACAUAACAACUUGUUACAAAUACGUGUUGAUAUUUGUAACAAAAAAAUAAGUUAUAAAUAGUGUAAUUUUGUAACAUCAUAUAUUCUUCACUUAUGUUUCAUGUAUGUUGGAGAUUAUUUUUAUGAGAUGUUUGAGCUAAUUCAGUUUGCGCAUGAUUAACAAAUUCUUUAUUUCUUUUUACAUAGUGGUUGGUUGUUAAUUUUCUUAUCUUUGCAAGUUUUAUCCCUUUUGAAAAGUAAUAAGAAUAGGAACAAGAUUAAUUAUAUUUUUUUAAGAAAAUAUUUCAAAUCAAAUUACAAAUUAGUUUAAUCUUAAGAUUGUAGGACAUGUUUUUUAAUUUUAACUUAACUAAAUAGAAUAUCAAAUGUAAAAGAAUUAUGUAGCAUUGCUAAAAUACUUUAAAGAUAUCUUUAUUAGAUAUAUAUUAUAUUGAAAUAAGUGAAUAAAAUUAUUUACUUGAAAAUAACUAUAAAUUUUAUAAACCUCAGUCAAGUUAUUUUAAUAUUUUAUUAUCAAAUAUGGGAUUUAAAGUCUAUACUCUUCAAUUUGUAUAAGACAAGAAUGUUCAUUAAGUUAGAUUAUAUAAUGAUUUAACUUGACUUAAUUCAAUUCAAUUAGAUUGAGUUGUGUUUUAUUUAUGAUUGAGUCAAAUUUGAUCCAACUCAAACUAAUCCACUCUUAUACGAGUUUGGGUGAUGAGUUAUUGUUAUUAUGGGUGACCAGAGACCCAACUUAAGACUCACUCUUAUACUUGUCUCACACUUACUCGUAGUUGUCAUAAUCAUAAACAAAUCUAAAACUCUAGUAGUGACAAUGCAUUUUUCUUCAUUGUAUCUUUGUUAUUCACCUCUAGCAUUCACCCCUGCUAUAUCUCAACCUUAAUAUCAAAUAAACAAACCUAAACAAAAUUCUUAGUCUCAACCCUAACAUUCUUAUCUUUGUCACAUCUCAACUCUAACAUCAAACAAACAAACCUAAACAUUAUUGUAGCCGCCUUUUGCCUUCAUUCUUUACCUCUAUGUCAUUUUUCACCAUUGUUUGUCAUAGUUGUUUGUCUUUGUUUUUCUUUGUUGCAUUUUCUCUAACAUGAUAUCGACUUCAAACUCCUUUUUAGGUGAAAUGUUUUACAUUUUAGUUUUUCAUUCUUUUAAACAAAAACAUUAUCUUUCUUAUUUGUCACCCUCUAUCUCUUUGUCAUUGUCUUGCUUAUAAUUUAUAUAACAUAUGCACUCCUCAAGGGCAGAAAACACACCAACAAUAAUUGUUGUGGGAUUCUAUUGUAUUUUUUGCACUUUAUUGGGUGCAUGGGUUGAUGGAUGGUGAUAAUGUUGAUUUAUAAUUUUUUUUUAUUAAUUAUUACUAAUUAUUAUUAUAUGAAACAAAUUGUUCAUUAUUAUUGAAAUGUUUUAGUAAUUUGUAAUUGUCGCAAUGUCUAUACAAAUGAAAAAUAUUAGUUGUAUUAGGUCUUCCACCGACAAAGGAAGUAUGAAUACUUCAAGUGGUAUGCUAGCAAUGACAUCCUCUGAAGUGCUAUUGAAGUUGUACCAUUUGAAUUUUAAUCACCAUUCAAGUCACAAGUUCUUAACCAAAGUCAUUUAAACCUAGCAAAAGAUUCAAGAGAAAACCUAUAAGGACUCCUUCAAAGAUUUGAGUACAUUUGACAAUACAAUUUGCAAGUAUUAUAACAAGUCAUAUAAGACUAAAAAGUUGAUUAAACAUUUGAAAGAUUAUUAUACUAAUAUGAAUGUUGAUAAGAAACAAAGAACAUUAGGUAUUGAAAAAUGACAAGAAGAUUACCUUAAUGCCAUGAAUUUAAAACUUGUUGAAUUCAACCAUGAGAAAAUUAUUAUUGCACUUGUUAGAAUGUUAAUAGUUGAUGAACUACCUUUUUAGCUUCUUGAUAAUGAUGGGUUUUACACGUUAUGCAAUAAGUAUUAGAAAGUGGGUUUGUAAGCCUAACUUAACCUCAUAAAACUGGCUUGUAAGGUGAGGUUUGCACCUCACUUAUAUAUUAUAAUUUGACCUUAUCUCUAGUCGAUGUGAGACUUCCAACGCACCCCCUUCACGCCAAAGUAUAGACAUCUCGUGCGUGAUAGUAGAAAUUGGAUGGUCCAAUACUGGUCCGACAACGGGUGGAAUAGAAAGAGAAAUGCCCACUUAGAACUCGCUAGGAUAGGCUUUAACCAUGGCUCUGAUACCAUGUUAUGAGAAAAGAAAGGAUGAAAAUUGUGUAUCUUCAUUCAUAUUAAAGAGAGAGUACAAUUGAUAUAUAUAACUGUUUAGAGCAAUAUAAAAAUGGAAUAUAAAUAUAAAAACAGAAUAUAAAUAUAUGAACAUAAAUGCCCAUAUAUGAACGGAAAAUAAAUUAAAUCCAAUAAUAAGUUUAACCUUACUUUAAAAUUUUGUAUCAUAUGAUCAUGACUAGAUAUCGUGUGCUUGUAUUUAACAAUGCAAAUAUGAAAUUAAAAUCAUUAUUGUUUGGAAAUAAACAUAUGUUUCAUUUAGAAUUGAUUCUUGGACAUUAAAUCAAAAUGUGAAUUAUAUGUGUGUGAUAGCUCAUUUUAUUGAUAAAUUAUGUUAUGCUUUUCUUUUCAUGUAUUGAAUUAGUUUGAUGAAACUUGUUAUGAUUUAAUUUGUUGACUUAUCUAAAAUUUUGAAUUAAUAUUUGUAAAUAUUGUAUUUUCUUAAAAUCUAAAUUUAAUUGGCAUAACUUAAUCCAAUAAUUUCUCAAAAUGAUUGAGUUAAAUUGAGUUUAACAUAAAAAAAAAAUAAAAACACAACCUAACCUUAUAUUUGUUUAUGGGACUGGUUAAUAAAUUUUCGUAAAUAUACAUAAGCAAUUAUAAACAAUCCAAGUAUAAGUUCAGGUUGGUUUUAUUAUUGGAUUUUGGACCAAACUUUAUUUGCAUAUAUUUUUUAUAUAUUGGUCCAUAAAAGAUAAAUUAGACAACAUUAACUUAUUAAAUUAAUUUGAUCGAUCAAUUAUUUAAUUAAUCACUUUUAUUGAUAAUAAUAAUUUCUUGUUAUGAACGGAUUUUUAAUUUUGAAUUUAGUCUUAUGAUUAAUGACUAUUAUUAUGACACUAAACUAUAUUUUUCUUUAGGAUUUUAAAGUUUUUUAUUUUAAGAGUGAUAAUUUUAUGAGUCAAGUUAUUACAUUAAAGGUUCCUUAAGAAUUAUAAACUAACAUCUCAUAAUUUAUUUUGGUAAAUUAUUAGGCAUUUUAAAACUUUAGUCAAUUUUCAUGAAGUAAAUUUUUCUCAUAAGUUAAAGAACCAUACCAUAAGUGAAUUUUGGUAUAUGUUAUUGAUCUCAUCUUCAUGUCCUAUUAGUAAUUGAUAUACUAAAAUAUGGUGAGAGAUACAUGAGAGAGUGUAAGAAAUUGUUAUGAAGGUGUUGUUCGAAAGAGUUUGACUUUUAUGUAAGAGAAACAAAGAUGGAUUCAAAAAUUCAAGAAAGGGAGGGUUGAAAGGAAAUAAAAUUUAAUAAAAUCUAAUUCAUAAUAAAUAAAUACAUGAUACAUCUUAUUUAAGUUGUACACAUCAUUCUUUCAUGUCAUAAAAUUAAUCAAUGAUAGAAUUUGUAUCAAAAUUUUCAACAAUCCUUCUCUCAAUGUAAGAAAUCAAACAAUCAAUUAGAAAUUCAUCUUUCAUCUUGUUUCUGAAUUUAAUUUUCACAACUUCAUAGAUGAAAAAGAUUUCUCAAUUGCUUUAUAGUUGAGUUUAAUAUCAAUCGAAUUAAACGAUCAAUCAAGUGAUAAGUCAAAUAUUUUCUUAUUUUCGUCAAUCCUUGACAUAACUUAGAAAUUGUUGAUAUAUUUCUCAUUUCAUAAUGAAAUAGAACAUCAAGUUCAUAAUGUUGAGUUUGUAUUCUAAGAUGUAACUUUUCCUAUUCCAUAAAAUCAUUAGAAUAAAAUUGUAUUGACAAUUCAUAAAAUUUUUCAACAUUGAAUGAUUUGUAAAGCCCUUUUGGAUCUAGAGUUGUAUUCAAAGUAAGUAGUUCCACCUUAUUAUCAUAAAAUCUACUAUUAAGUUCCUAUAUAUAAGUGAGUAUCAAGUUAUAGCAAUCACUAAUCUUUUGAAUUCCACCUCGUCAGUAUACAAGGUAGUCAUCUCAGGUUGAAAAAAGUUUCCCAACCUGAUUCCCUUAUUCUUUGAAUCAAACUUUUUGUUCUAGAAACCAAAUAUAUUGCAUUCAAUAUACUUGAUUCAUACAUUGCAAAGCAUGACAAAGGUUAUGGGUAAUAUCAAGAUAUCUCUCAUAAGAUGAAGAAAAAAUUGAAUUCAAAAGAUGUGAUAAUAUCAUAAGCACUAUCAGUAAAUUGAAGGUUAAGAUGAAAAUAUUAAUAAAACAAAAAUGAAAUAUUUUUACCUGUAAGUUGUAGCAUAUUAACCAAGAAAAGCUAUCAAAGUAUUUGUUGUGUGCAAGUUCUUUUGCUUUUGCCGAAGAUGUUGAAAAAUUGCAGAAGUUGAAGAAAAGGUAAAAGUUGCAACUUGCAAAUCCCUUGAAAGUGUGAGAAAGAAAAUGACUUCUUGACAAAAAUAAAAUAAAAUUGUAAAGGCUUGUGAAGCAAGUUUUGGUUUUUAUUUUAAUAUAUAUAAUAUAUAUAAUUUAUAUUUUUUAAAGAGGAGGAAUUGGGACUCACGUUUAUUUAUACGUAUAUCUCAUUCUAGUAAGUGAGGAGCCUCUUGAUGUAUUGAGAGUUAAAAAAUUUAAUAACACAUUUUUUCUCUUAAAUUGAAAUAUUAUAUAUAAGUAAAUUUUGACACGCAUAAGUGAAUAUUUUUAUAUUUUAUUACUUCAAAUACAAGAGUGUUCUAACCCAAGUGUUCAUGAAUUACUUAUCAUAUUUAUAUAGUAUUUUUAAACAAAUGUAUUUUCCUAAAAGUAAAUAUAUAUAUUUUUUAAUAUAAGUUAACACGUUUAUCUAUAAACUUAGAGACUAAAAUUGUUUAACAUGUAACCUGUUAACAAAGUUAAACUUCAAAUGAACUAUGAUUAGAUUUCAAAGCUACAAAUCAAACAAGUUAAGAUGGUAAUUAUAAGUUAAAAUGUAUUUUGAAAUAACAUUGUUAAUAACUAAAUUAAUCAAUUUCUUAAAAAUAAGAAUUAGCUAAAAAGGUUAUUCUCUUUUUUUUCUCUCUCUACAUAUAUAAAUUAGCAAAUGUAAUAUAUUAACAUUGUGUUAAAUUACAUAUAUCACGUUAUUAUCAUAUUUUAAUAUUGUACUUUGACAUAUAAAGGUGUUAAAAUAGGUAUGUAAGACGUGGUUUAUUAAAGUUUGAGUUAAAAAAAAUUAAAUAUAGAUCAAACUCAAUUUUGUUUGCUUAAUUUUUAAGUUAAAUGAAUUUGAGUUGAGUUGAAGUUAAAUUAAUCCGUAAUUCAUUAAUUAUUAUAUUUUAUUUUAUUAUUUUUUAUAAUUGUUUAUAAUUUUUAAUUAGAGUUAUAUUUAAUAUUUUAAAGACUAAAAUUUUAUUUAUUAAUAUUUGAAUAAUUUAUAUAUUUAAUUUAUUUGUGUUUAGGUUUUACAAAUCGACACUUUAAUUUUUAAAUCUAUUUAUUUUUAUUAUAAUUUAUAGUGAAAUAGAUAAAUAUUAAUUUUAUUAUUAUAAUUAAGUGGAUUAAGUUAAUUUAUUUUGAUUGUAUAUAAAACAAGUUAAAGAAAAAACAUUUUUAGUAGGUCAAUUCACUUAACCUACUAGUUUACGAUAGGUGAAAUCGAAUUAUUUCUUAUUUACCAAAACGUAAAGUGUAUUGAGUUGACUAGUCAUUAAUUCAAUUUAGAUGAACUUAUUUGUGUGAGUCGAGUUAACCUGUUUUUGACAUUUUAAAAUAUAUUUUAUUAAUAUUUUCUAUUUAAUACAUUUAUAACUUGAUAAUAUUUUAUUUUAUUUUUUUAUCUUUAACCAUUUUUUUUAACAUGUAAUCUAAAAUAACAUUUUAGUUCAUACAAAUAAAUCUCUAAAUAAUUAUAAGAAAAUAAAUUGGGUUCAGUUAUAUGGAUCUUAAUUUUUAGAACUCAAACCAUCUUUUUUAUUGAAUUAUUUAAGUAAGUUAUUUGUAAUUAGUAUUUUUUUUAAAGAGAAAGUCCAUGUAUUGACAAAGUAAAGGAUUUACAUUGUUGUUAAAAGAAGAAAUAAAUGGUAUGAUAAAUUUAUUAAUUUUUAUAAAAAUUAUUAUGUUAAGAUAGAGAUCAUCAAAAAAACAAGACCGUUUAACAAUUCUUAUUUUAAUAUUUAAUAAACAAACAUUUAACGAAGCUUAAAUCCUCCAAUGAUAGAAAUAAUGUUGAACAAUGUGAACAAAACGUCUAUUUUAAACAUGAAUAAUAUUUUAUACAACUUUAAUGAAGUGCAGUUAAUACUUCAAACAAAGCUUUUAUUAAACCAUGCACUCAAUAAACACUAUGUUACUUAAAGAACAAAUUUGUACAUUAAAUGCUCAAUACACUAAAACAUGUCUAAACUCUUUACAAAGUUUAUAACAUUACAUGCAUGUACAAUUUGUACUUCUUAUUUGCGGUAUGUUGUUUCUUUAUCUCUGCAAAUCAUGACAAUACUAGGCUUUAUUCAAAAGUCUUUACAAUAUCAAAAGAACGUUAAGAGAUAAGAAGUCUUAGAAUGUUUCCUUAAUGCCUUUUGCCAUGAGGAAGUUGUACAUGUUACCUCCGUAAAAAGCAUUGUUGUUUUGACACUACCUAGCACCUAACUUUGUACCUGAAGGACACCAACUUUUCUCAAAGUCAACUCUAUAUAAAAAGGACUUGAUGAAGAGAAGAAUACAAGAAUUUUAUCUUUAAUUCUCACGCUGUUAUUCUCUCUUGAACUUUCAUCGUCUAACACUUUAUUUGUUUAAGAAAAUAUUUUACAAAUCUUCAGAUUUCAUUGUAUUGAAAACAUACUCUCUUUGAGAGCUUUGAUCUAUAGUUGUUUUCCUAAAUCACUUUUAUUGUGUUUGUAAAUUCCGAAGAGAAUCAAAAUACUUAUUAGUUUAGUUCAGUAGAACUAAAUUGUCUAGUCAAGAGUAAGUAAACUCAUAUGAUUGGAUAGUUGUAAACAAAGAGUGAUGAAACUUGUAACAUUUAAAAAAAUUAAUAAAACUUCUUAAGAAUUCUUAAAAAGAAAAGUUCAAAUUAAAUGAAUUAGUAUAAAAAUAAGCUUGUUUUAUUUGAUUUUCUUUAUAUAAGUUUUCUAAAUGCUAAAGUAUUUCAUCCAUAUUUGUGAAAAGUUUAUGAAAACUUUAUUCAACCUCUUUCUAAAGUUUUACAAGGGUUUCAUAACAUGCUAUUAUGAAUAAUAUAUUUACAUUGUCAAUUAUUAAUACAUAAUUAUUAAACUUUUUUUACAAAUCUAAUAAUCUAAUUCAAAGCUGCUUCAUAAGAGCCAGAUUUUGGAAUAAGUCAAGUAAGCUGCUUUUUGCACUCCCACAAUUCUGAAGUUCAGCUCCACGAUGAUAAGGACUGCACCACACCACCCCGCCACUACUUGAAGAAGAGGGGAAGAACACUGAAGAGGAAGAAGAGAAAAUGUGAGGAAAAACUUAUUCUAGAAAACUCUUUCCACAAUUUAUUUUAUAUGUGGAGGUGGAUAAAGAAAUUUUGGGGUGCAGGAAGUAAAAGCCGAUAAAUAAUGAUGGAGGAUUUGAAUAGGCUUUAGUUUAGUUCUUUACUUCGUGUUUCUUGCAGCGUUCUUGGACGGACUCAGACCGACACCUUAAGAAAUCUGUUUUAUCUUUUCAAUUUCGGACGAGGACAUGGUUAAGCCGAAGCUACAGAAGAAGCUAUCCCAGAAGAAGCAACAACAACCGCAAGUAGGUUUCAAAUUCCGUCAUCUCUUCCUUGUUACUUACUUUAUGUUCUCUCUCGGCAAUCGAUCUCUUGCUACAAUUCAUGGAUAUUAGUGUUGCAUUUGUGAUCCCAAUUUGUUAUUUCCUAACGUACCUCUCUAUCGUGCUUUAAUUGUUUUACUGUAGGCAAUGAUCAAUAAAAACCCUAUAUUCAUUUACCAAUUUCAUAAUUUUAUUUAUUUAUGCAUUUUAGUGAUGUUAGUGUGGGUUGCAUUGCAUCUUUCAGAGGGGGCAUCUGUGAUGUGCUACUGGAAUCUGCACUGUUACUAGUGGCUAUAUCUUAAAAAUUACGUGUAAGGAACAUUUUAGAUAUUAGAUUGCUAAACUGGAAUCAUCCAUUUCACUUUUCAGCAUAACUAAUUUAUGAGGUUGCUGUGGCACUAAAUUACAUUAGAGGGCAGAGACAAAGGUGGUGACAUCUAUAUUAUGGCUGUUGACGUGGCCAAUGAUGCACUGUCAAGGAUGUCUUUGUCUAAGUUUGUGAAAUCUUUCUGCAGUUUAAGACUCAUUUGAGGUUAAGCCUAGGGUUUUUUGUGAUGUUUUUUUUACUUAUUUUUUUUUUCUUUCAGAUUGAAGGUGCCUUUUCUUUUCCUGUAUGCCAACUUGGUUUUCCAGUUGUUGGAAAAGUUAUUUUAUGUAUUUUCUGUCUAGAUUAUUAAAAGCCAACUUUGGUGUUUUUACAUUUACUUGUAGAGGCAGUACUAGCUGUUCUGAUUGUACCCUGAUUUGUUUAUCUCUAUAAUCAUCCGUUAUAUGUAUAUUAAAAGUCUGUUGAGUGAACAGACCACUUAACCUUUAUUGGAUCGAAAGAGGGAGCAUGAAAAAGGUAGAUAAAUAGUGAGGAGAAUAAGGUUGUUUGGAUUUAGUGAAAAAGGUGGAAAUAGGUGACAAAUGAGUAGUAAGUUGAUAUAACUGAUGUGAUAAUGUAUAAAUUAGUUUAAAGCUACAUUUUCAAAUACAAAUAAAACAUGUGUAUUAUAUAUUAGAACAAAAAUAAAAAUUGUGGUUUCCUCACUCAAAUGAGUGGUUGGCUAAUUUUUUGCCAUAGUGGGUGCAUAAUCUUUAAUGCCUCACUCACCAUUGGUUUUGCUCCACGUAAUUUAACAGAACAUGGCCAAAAAUGUCACCACAAUCGAUUAUGUGACCAAUGUACAUGGAAAUAUAGGUCUUUGAUACCAACAUAAUCAAUCAUGGGCUAUACAUAAUCGAUUAUGUUGGCUCCUGGUGCACUGUGACAGGUAAUUGCAUGUGAAGGGCAUUUGGGGAAAUCAUUCAUUGCCACACGGACUUUGUCCUUGUAUCAACCCGUUUCGCAUUUCAUCUUCUAUUUGAUGGAUGGAUUCGAGUGUGGGACUCAAACUUCCUUGCAAAUCAGCGUGAAUCCAUGGGAAUAAACACAUGUGGUCCUCUUCAAAUCCGUCUCCUUCCUUCUGCAUUUACAAUACACACGUAGAAGAGAGUUUUAAGCAUUUUGCAUUCAAUCCCGUUGUUUUAACUGCUUUAUUAUGAUUUUGUCUUUGUGAAGGUCCUUCACAAGGUGCUAUAGAGACUUUUAAAGGAAACAACAGACAAUGCAAUAACUCUCUUGUUGUACUUACUGUUAAUUUAACUGUUUUGAAUGUAUACCCUUAGCUAUUACUAAGUGGGAUAAGGCUGUUGUAAAAAGCUCUUAUAUGUUAAUCUAUUGAGUGAAAAUCGAAUUGUGAGGUUGUAUUUUCUAGUGUUUCUAGGAAUAGAUGUUAUUUGGAUACUUUAGCUACUAGUGACCGGCCAUGUAUUGGAAACAGGUUAAGAAGCUAGGAAAACAGGCUGACACUUCUCAAUUUCGUACUCAGUUGGAUGCUCUGGGAUUACGCAUUGUUGAAGUGACUGCAGAUGGUAAUUGUUUCUUCAGGUCAGUUUGAAUGCUUAGCAUCCAGUUGCACUGACUACAUUAGCAUCCACGUUACAUAGUACAUACUACUAUACUAGGUACUUUCACUUGCACACAGUACCAAUCUUUUAUUCUUAGUAUGAAACUGACAGUAAGUUAUAGUCCCUAUAAUUUUGGCAUUAUCACCUACUAAAUUAGAUCUGUCUCUCUCCAUCCACCUUCUGUUUUUCGGAUUUCUGGCUUGGUAAAUUUCAUUGGCGUUUGGUGUUUUCAGUAUGAUCAUUCAAUCCUGCGAAAAACGUUGUAUAUUAAUUUAAAAUCUGCACUCUUCUUUCUUAUGCAGAUCCCUUGCUGAUCAGUUGGAAGGCAAUGAGGAAGAACAUAAAAAGUACCGCAGCUUGGUGGUAAAACACAUAUUGGUACAAUGUUCUGAAAACAAUUUUGUUCUUUCCUUCCUCUUCUUUUUUCAAAUUUUCAACUUAAUUACUCCUCAUAUUUUAUGCUUAUAUAUUGUUUAUGUAAUAAUUUUGAUUCAUGUGGUUUUUGAAAUUCAUUGAAAAAAGAAAAUGCAUCUAUGUCAUUAAUAUGCUAUGCCCCUGUUUUCCCUUUACUGCUUCAUUAGACAAAUAGAAAAAAAAAAGGUAGGGCUUGAAAUACUGGGUUAAUCUGUGUGUUGUUGAUGUAAGAUGUGGCAUGAAGAAAAUUGUUUGGGUUGGAACCUUUAUCUGGUUAAUCACCUAAGUAUUCACAGUUAACCUAAUAAAUGAAAGGAAAGUUGAAAAACCAUAAAUAAUAUCCAUAAUCAAUCAUAAGGAUCAUUGGUUGCCUGUGAUUUGUCUAUUCUUUUCUCAGUGACAUUUUAUGUUUGUGAACUUUCCUAUGUUAGUUUGCCUCUUUAAUUUUUGGGAAAACUCCUUCACAUAGCCUGGUCUUGAAGCUGUGAUUAACAGGAUAAUCGAGAGAUUUUUGAGCCCUUUAUUGAAGAUGAAGUACCAUUUGAUCAGUAUUGCCAAUCCAUGGAAAAUGAUGGUACAUGGGCUGGACAUAUGGAAUUGCAGGCAGCUUCUCUUGUAACACGUUGUAAUAUAUGCAUUCACAGGGUGAGCAGCAUCCUUGAAGAUGAUCAACUUCUUCACAUCUUAUAUUCUAAUGUCGCAUAAUUUUGUAUGGAAUAUUGUUGAUUAGUUAGAUUAUUCACUAUCUGAACUUUAUACAAAUGAAGAUCGAGGUAUUUUCGCAUUCUAUCAUCUCUGUCCCAUGCAAUUUUAUUUUGUUUCUGAAUGUGCGUAAGCUUUAUUCAUUAAUGUGAAGACUGAAAAUAGUAAAUGCAUAUUUUUCCCAGAUAUAUUUAAUUGCUUUUAUGAUGUCUUUGAUAGACUUUGUAAUUUGUUACAUGGUAAAGUUGAUAGAAAUUUCCAUUCAUAUUGGUGGGAUUUUGCAGCACAUGUCUCCUCGGUGGUACAUAAGAAAUUUUGAUGAUCAUGGAGUUCGCAUGGUCCAUUUGUAAGUACUAUGGACUCUAUGGUUAUAUUGUACUGCUUUGUCUCUUUUGUCUGAAAAUUAUAGUGAUGAUUUUGAUAUGCUAAAUCUGACUAAACUAAAAAAUAUUGUUUAUAUAUUUAACUUGCUGACAGACUCUAGGUCUUCAUUUUUGUAAUUAGGAGACAUUUGCUUUCUAAUCAGCCAUUCAAUUAGUAAAACCACUGUUUAGAACACAUACACGUGUACAUGAAUAGAAUAUUAGAGUUGUAGUGUAGGCUGAGUUCAUUAUUUAGACAUGAGGUAUGGAAAAUGACAAUUGAACGUGAUUGAUGAAGCUGGUUGUAACCGAUGUGAUUCUUAGAUUGUUUUGAAGGAAAAUUGAUAAAAUUACGGAUUAAAAAUCCAAUCGUUGUCUGUGAAUGAAAAAUCCUUCCAAUGAUAUUGACUAGGUUUUGGAUCCUAUUAUUUAUUAGAUUUUUCAGAUACUUGAGAUUAAAAUAGAAAAAUAUAUUUCUACUGGGCUUAAGAGAUCCCUCUUACUAUCUUCUAUUUAUAUUGAAUAUAUAAGAUGUCUUUUAUUAAUAUUGAAAAUAUAAGAGUACAUGAAAUAUUAAGGGACUGCACUAAACACCUAGGUGAAAAACUAGGUACGACUAAUAAAUGAUCUAGCAGACUACACCCUGCUUAGGCUUAAUGAUGAUACAUAGAUGAAAUUAUUCUAACACAGAUCUUAUCAGUACGUAGUUGGAGUAUUUAGUAAUUAAUAGUUUCUAAUCUUAAUCACAUCAUUCUAUCAAUUUAGAAAGGACAUUGUCUUGUAAUAUUGUUCUGUGUGCUGUAAUAUGUUUAUGCAUAAUGCCUCUAAUUAAACUCAAGGUAUAUAUGCAUACGGAAACAAUGAAAACAUAAUUUUCCUCGACCUUGCAUUUGAAUUCGGAUGGUUUUUGAGUGUACUGUGUGUUUUCCAGGUCUUAUCAUGAUGGGGAGCAUUAUAACAGUGUGCGGUUGAAGGAUGAUCCUUUUGAUGGGCCAGCAAGGCCGAUUGUAAUCAAGGUUGUUAUUAUUUCUGCUUAUUAAUUUUUGGACUGUAUCAAGUAUUGGAGCAUAUGCCUGAUUAAUUUUAGUUUGUGAAAGGCUGAUGCUGAUCUUUCAGCACCUUCACAUGAAACGAAAGUUAUGAACAAAACCCAUGGGCGAGCUGGUAAGGAAACCUUUCAACCGGGGUCCAUAAAGUUGGUUAUGGCUGGAACUGGAUGUGAAAAUGCUGAAAAAGUGGAACAGGUGAAAUGAGUGCGUACCAUUUUGCUGUUUGCUUGUGCUGCAUUACUAAUAUUUCAGUUCGGCUAGAGCUCUUGCAAGUUGCUGUUUUUUCUAAAUUUUAAUUACUCUACAUGUAUUCAAAGUCUGUCUUCCUUGUCCUAGAUUCUAGGGCAGGUAAAUGGAGACAUUGAUGCUGCGAUAGAAUUUCUAAUAGCAGAGCAAGGAACUGAAGAGUGCUCUGCGAACUCAGAUUCCCUACCUAGUCCGGCUAAUACUUAUGGUAAUGUGUUCUUGUAUAAUAAAUGCAUUUUGCACUUUCCAUACUGUUAGAUGGCAAACUAACAUUUUCAUGCUUUAAUGGUAAUUUUUUUUCUUGCAUAGAGGGUUCAUUUAUUCAUUAGCAUUUAGUAUAAACCAUUAUGAUUAGUAGAGAAAAAUGAAACUUUGGUUCUAUCGUAACCCACCUAGUCUCAAAUUCCAAGCAUGUAUAGGUCAUGAUGAAAAUGAGAACCAUAAGCAACACAAAGAGGACAAGGUAGAGGACAGCACUAAUGAUAAAUCAAACAAUAGUUCCAAGAAGACCAAUAUCAAGUUGCAACCAAAUGAUAAGGUUCUCUAUUUUCUGCUAAUUUUAGUUUAUAGGUGCUUAAUCCCCUGGAGGGUUUGAUCCAAAAUAAAUUAGCUGUUGAAAUAUUAUGAUCUCCUUUGACACCCUUUUGUUAUUCUAACCGCCUCUUCUUUGUGGUGUUAACCACCAGAUUCCUAGAAACAAGGUCUGCCCGUGUGGUUCCAAAAAGAAAUAUAAAGCUUGUUGUGGAUCUGCCUUGGGAACACAAUCUGCUAAGUUUCUAGUGUACGUGUCUUCAGUGUUUGGAAAUUUUCUCUGGGAGCUCACUUGAUGUUCCUUGGAUUUAAGUUAGCUGACUUCAUUUUGUUUGCUACAAGAAUGUAAUCAAAUGGAAAAAUUUCAAUGCGUGUGACCAAUAUUUCUGUUGUGUCAGUAACCAAGCAGCUGACGCACGAAGGGGGAAAAAUGAAAGGAAGCGAGGAGAAAAGGGGAUUUCUGCAAAAGGAGAAGUGCCUAGUGAAUACGACUUGGUAACACCUGACGUGGGCGCCCUUUGUAUUUAAAUUGAUAAUAGAUGUAAGACAUGCCUUGUACUAUGGUCUACAGAACCUUUUCCCUGCUCUACAAAAUUGAUUAAGUUAUUGUUUCUUCCGACAGAAGUUGAUUGUGCUGCACCAGAGGAGAUGAUACUGAAGGUGAGCAAGUUUUGUCUUUACAUUCCUUUGGAUUUACAAGUUUACUGAAGGUCAUAUAAAGAGAACCCUACCAUUUUUUAUAUCGUCACUGCUCAUGUUAUGUCAACUAGUUGAUAUGCUCAUGACAACUUAUUGGCUACCAAGAUGCCAGCUUUUAGUAUAAUUUACUAUGUUGUUAUCGUCCGUUCAAUAUAUACAAGCUGGUCUGUGAAUUAAGACUUGGUUUUGGUAAGGGGGAAAGAGGGAGGGAGGGAGGAAGGAAGAGAGUAGUAAUGAGGAAAGGUGCUUGGGUUGGUUGGAGAGAAGUGUGAAGAAAAGAGGAAAGAAAAACGGACGGUCCACGUGGCACUGUGAAGAAACAUGCAGAAAUUUGCUGCUCUCAGCGGCAUAAUUGUUUGCGAUGCACGUGUAAUUGGUUAUGCUGCUUGAAUACACGUUUUGAUGUUUAGAUUAGGGGUUAGGGAUUAGGGAUGACAACGGAUCGGGUAUGGAUAGAUUCUAUUUGUAAUCCGAUUCGAUAAAAAAAAAAUUCAUCCGUUAUCUAAUUCGUUACUCAUACGGAUAUCUGUUUAAAAAAUAUCCGUAGAUAUUUUAAAACCUGCGGAUAUCUACAUAUAUUUAAAAAAUAUAUUUUUUAUAAGUUAUUAAAAUAAAAUUUAAAUAAUAUUAAAAAAAUAUAUAAAAUAUAAUAUAAAUUAAAUAAAAUUUAAUUUUAAUUAAAUUUAAUCUUAUAAAAUAUAAAUUAAUGUUAAUUUUAAUUAAAUUAAAUUUAAUAAAAUAUAAAUUAAUUUUUUUUUUUAUUUUUUACAGGUAAUAGAUAUAUGUGGAUAUGGAUAGUAUAAUAUCCUGUUUAUAAGUGGGUAUUAAAAUACUUGUUAUUUAUUAGUAGAAAAAUUUUAUGAGUAUCAACUAUUCAUAGAAGAUUUUAAUUGUGGAUUGCAAGUGUGGAUUUUUUUGUCAUCUCUAGGGAUUACUGUGAAGAAACAUGUAGAAAUCGAAAUUUGCGACGCAAUGCCAUAAUUGUUUGUGAUGUACAUAAUUAGUUAUGCUGCUUGAAUACACGUUUUGACAUUUAGAUUCGGGAUGUAAUAUUUUUUAUUUAUUUAUUUAUUAUUAUUAUUACUAUAAUAAUAAACAAUUGAAAAAAAAAUGACAAUAAUAAAUAAAAUUAUUAGUCAUAAAUGAAACAUUUUAAAAAAGUUAAUUUUGACUAUUUUCGUCUUCUGAAUCAAAUAGUGUUUCUUGUACUGGUUCUUUAUAUCCAUUUCACUUUAUUUUUGUUUGUUUUCCUACCGCUUCCUUUAUUUUUUUUUUCUCUUCACAGGAGUGUAUAUCAACUUCACAUCUAGGCUUUAUUCAAAAGUGCAUCCUGUGUCCUUGUAAGUUGUAUUAUCAAGAUAUCACCAUCUAGGGCAUUGUUUACUGAUAGGUUUGCCUUUUUUUCUAAACAGGUUUGCUUUUGGCAGAAGCCACAUCAGGUACAGGAAAGGAAUGUACAGAAGCAGAAAUAGAGUUACAGAAAUCAUUUACAAUUUUUGUUGUUCCGGCAAGAUGCUUUUGGGAAGAAUGUGGAAGUUUUGGUCAUUCUUUUCAUCGGAAAUCUUGUGUGAGAAUCAGUUUUGCCUAAAAUAUAGGGUAGAAAUAUCAUCAUUAUGAUUUAGUCAAAAAGUUAAGCUGAACAAGGGUCUUUUUUCCUUUUAACAUUUUUGGCUAGAGUCAAUGGACCUAAUCAACCAGAGAAAAAUUUCUUACAUUAUCUCAGUAAUACAAGACUAGAGUGGUUCAAAAGAGGAAGAAUUAACCCUCCUAGUGAUUGUCAUUUACUAGUUCUUAAUCUGAUGGACUUGGCUUGAUUAUCGAGGAAUUCCACCUUUAAGUUACAUUCUGGUAAAAUUGCUGAAGUAUAUCAAAAUUUCAAACUAAUGAGAUGUAGUAGUAAUUAUGGUAGUUUUCUGAUAAUUCUUACUCGGUUGCAUGCGUAUUCUGACACUUUGCUCUCUUUAAGUCGACAAGAGUAUAUACGAGGUGCGUGAGUUCCUCAUUUAAUUUAUUUAUUUAUUCAUGGUCUUAGAAGCAAAAUGAUCUUUGCAUUGCCACGUGGCACGAUCUGGAUCUCCUAUUACCAAUUACUAAAACGAGAUGAGCGAAUCUAAUUAAGGAAACAAAACUCUUAUCAUUUACAACACUUCAACUUAAGGUCUAAAGGGGUAUGAAAUUCUUGGUUACUUAAACCAACAAACAUUGGCUUUUCUUUGCAAGUUUUUAGUAUACGUUCUUAAAAAGUUGCAGACAUGUAAUGGAGCAUAAUGGAUACUAUCCUUAAUGCUCUAGAGAUGUCAGUGCGAUGACCAUACUUGAGGCAAGUGUAACAUUGACUUUUUUCCUUUCUGGUGUAUCUAUCUGUUUAAAUACAUUUUAGUAUACAUGAAGUAAGCCAAUUUAAUAUAUUUUUAUUAUAAAUAAAAUGGGCAUAACUUAAAAAAGUUGAGAGUUUGGUCCUAAAGGAAUGGGAUGCAAAAGGAGUGUUAGUUGGUAAGCCCUAGCAAUCAUAAUGGAAGGUUGGUGAAGAUGAAGUUUGCGUUGAACACUAAACUUGCUCCAAUAACUUAAAAAGAGUGCCUCCCAAAGUCCAUCACAUUGAAUCACUGCAACAUAUUACUUAGUUUGGAAAAGUAGGUUUUGAUAUGUGGAAGACAAGACACCCAAUGGUUUGUUUUUUGUUGAGAAGAUUCGGUUAGAAAAGAUGAGAAAAGUAGUGCAGUCCCCAUAGUAGAAACUCGUAAACCUCUUUGAUUGGCAUUGGCCCAAAUAGAAAGAUGUCUGUUUCCUAUUGAAAUUAAGCAAACACAUAAACUUUGCCGUCCCUGUUUUGGGGUCUCUGUUACAUUGCCCUUUUCCUCAUAUUUUUGUAGCUAGAUUCAUGCUUUGGUUUCACAAGUGUCAACCAUCAACAAUUUAUUGCCAAACUCCAUUCACAUUCCUUUUCCAUUAUUCGUAUAGACACUGAAUUUUCCUUUUUCCAUUCAAGGGAAAGAAUUUGCGUAGCCAUUCUUCAAACCUCAAACCUCAAACGGAUUGCGAUGUGAAAUCAUAAUAAUAAUAGUAACGUAAUCAUUUGACCAAUCCAUCGUAAAAUGGAAAACCUAAAAUCGAUUCAACCAACCGAAUUGACUUUUGACGAUGUUAGCCAAAUCUGACUCUCAUCCACAAUUUUCUCCCGCCUUUGGUUUUAUAGGAAUAUUAGUAUGUAACAUAAAACUAUACGAUUUUUCAACAAUGCUCAUUCCUUUUUCGACUGCUUACUUCUUAAUCCUCAAACUUUUGCAUCAAUAAAAUUAAUAUUCAAUCUUGGAAACUGUGCCUCCUUAUCAAUUCAUAAGUAAACAACUUCUGCUAAUCCAACUUUCUAUUUUGCAUUUCUUAUACAUAAACAAAAUCAUAAAAUUCUUCUUCAUUUAUACACAAUGAUAUGUAUGAUAUGCCUAAACUCAAAUGCCAUUCUUACAAAUUUUUACUCAUUACGUAAAAUCCCUUCUUAAGCAUUGUGCAAACCCCCUUCUAUUUUAUACACAUUACGAUGAAAUGCGUUUCAAAUAAAACAGAUUUCAAUUUAUUAUUAUCUAAAUUAUUGAAAUUUUAAGAUAACAUUAAAAUCAUAGAAGACAACAAAAAGUUUAAUAGCAAAACUAUCAAUUAUAAGUUAUAUAUAUAUAGAAUAUUGUAACAAAAAAAUUAACAAAAAUAUAUAAUCGAGUGAAUUAGUACUAACUAAAUCAAUCAUUUUCACUUUUUAAUUCUUAAAAAUUAAUAUUUUCUACCAAAGUUUAAAUAUUUUUAUUUGGAAUAUAAAAUUAUAUUUUAUUUUUUAUCUUUACUUUUUUGUUGAAUUAAUUAUAUAAGAUUAUAUUUUGAGUAUUCACGUAGAGAGACAAAUAGUCACAUUUUAUGCGUUUAGGGUCUUGGACUUUUAAUCAUUGUUUUCAAAGAUGAAUAACAUCAAUACAAUAUCAUGGUUUAAAAAAUUCUAAUUAUUUUUUUUUGGAAAUUCAUAAUUAUUAUUUUUUUUAUAACAUAGGGAUUUAAUUGUGAUAUAUUUAUUAAAUAUAUGUUUUUCUUGUAAUUUUUAAUAAAUAUAGGAUAUUUUAUUAAUGAAAUGAGAUCUAUAUGAAGAAAUUUUUUCCAAUUUUAUGCAAAAAUAUUUAGAUAUAAAUAUGGCGUAUUUCCAAAAUAGAAGGAGGCUUAUGUAGGUUUCUUUCUAUUGUUGAUAAUACAUAGUGUACUCUUUUUAUUUAUUUAUAUAAGAGGUUUAUCUACGUUUCAAAAAUUUAAGGGGAAAUUAUAUUUUAAUGAUGAUAUACAAAAAUAUAAAUUGCAUUUUAAUAACAAUAUUUAAUAAAAAAAUUGGUAUUUAGUAAUUUUUAAAAUUGGUUAUUUAGAUUUUUGACUAGAUAUGUUAUCUUUUAUUUUUAUUUUAAACUUAACUCAUAUUUCUUCUAUUAUAAAUAAAGGACCUUAUGUGUAUAUUCAACACAAGGAAGAUUAAUCUCAUAUAUAUUUUUUACUAUAUUCAACAUGAUAUCUAAGAGCUUAAGGUUCUUUUAAGGAAAAAAAAAAUUAUAGUCUUUACCACUACACUUGUGGUCGUGCCAUCGUCCACCGCUGUCACUAUCAAAGUUCUAGUUUUGAAUGACGAUCACAUGGUUUUGAUUGUCUCGGUCAGGUGACCAUUAUUUCAUCAAUGAUGCCUUCAUCAGAGCUCCUAUAGGAUCUUAACACCUUUUAAAGUUAUGGAUUUGCUCCCUGCUAUUUAGAGCAUUGAGGUUGCUCUUGUGCCUUGAUUGAAGAAUCUUGGAUUUUUUAAUAUUUCUCUCUCCUAUUCAUCCCUGGUUUCUUCCUGCUAUUGUCUCUUCUGACCUCUCUUUUGUCACCAUUGUGUUUGACCCGUCCAUAUAUGUUUGUUUUUUUUUUCGAUGGAAAAGAUGGUUCUUGUUAGUUUAUUUAUAACCGUAGUGGCUCUCCAACAAUUACCUCUUUAUCCACUGGUGGCAUUCCUCAAGGACGAUUUUCAAGAAGAGAUUUACUUGGAGCAACCUCCCAGGUUUGUUGCUCAGGGGGAGUCAUCUGAGUAGGGAUGGCAAAAAAAUUCGCGCCCGCGAAUAUCCGCGGAUAAAAUCCGCGACGAAUAGUUGAUACCCGCGGAUAUUUACUACCCGAAACCCGCGGAUAGCGGGUAUUUUAAUAUCCACUUAUAAACGGGUCGGGUGCGGGUAUUAUACUAUCCGUAACCGCAGAUAUCCACUACCAACAAAAAAAUAAAAAUAAAAAUUUAAUUUUUCUUUUAUUAAGUUAAAUUUAAUUAAAAUUAACAUUAAUUUAUAUUUUACAAGGUUAAAUUUAAUUAAAAUUGUACUAUAUGAAGUAUACCAAUCAGAAUUAAUUAUCAUUUAUGGACAAUUAACAUAUAUUAAUAUGUUAUGUUACUCUUUACAAAAUAUACAGUAUUGAUUAUUGAUUAUUGGGUUUGAUUGUCUAAAAAUAUACUCUAAUCGUCAGAUUGUUUUACUCCUUACAAAAUAUACUAUAUUAAUUAUUGAUUAUUGAGUUUGAUUGCCUAAAAAUAUACUGCACUAAUGGUUAAUCAAUGGACUUGCCUGUCACAGGAAAGAUUGAAGUUGAAAAGAGAACAAAGUAAAGAAGGAACCUUCGGACUAAUUCAACCGAAACAAAAAUUAAAUUUUAAUUUAUAUUUAAUUUAAUUUAUAUUAUAUAUAUAUAUAUAUAUAUUUGUAAUUUUAUUUAAAUUUUAUUUUAAUAAUUUAUAGAAAUAUUUUUUUAAAAUAUUUGCGGGUAUCCGCGAAUAUCCACAGGUUUUAAAAUAUCCGCGGAUAUUUUUUAAGCGGGUAUUCGUGUGGGUAACGGGUCGGGUAGCAGGUGGAUUUUUUUUUGUCAGGUCGGGUUGUGGGUUAGCACUAUCCGUGCCCGACCCGACCUGUUGUCAUCCCUACUUCUAAGUUAGUACUUGGUCUUCUAUGUCGUCUUGCAGAUCAUUAGCAAUUUGGUGCCACUCGAGUGCAAAAACAGAUAUUUUCACUAAGUCUUUAUGGAUUAUAUUAAUAACAAGCUUGGUACAUAUGAUUUGUAUGCACUAGCUAAAGGGAAAAGUGUUAGAUAUAUAUCUUUAUUUUAUAUUUAUCUUUUAUCUUUAGUUAGUUUGUUAUUAUUUUUUAUUUGUAUUUUGAGUUUUGCCAAUAUUUCUUUUAUUAUGAAUAGAGAAUCCUAUAUGUAUAUUCAAGACAAGAGAGAUUAAUUUCAUACAUAAUUUUCACUAUAUUUAACCGUUGCAAAUAAAGAACUAGAUUAAGUUUCUCUUAAAAGAUUUAGUAUUUAUUUAAUUAAUUAGUGGUUACAUAGGAUAAGUUAUGCGAAGUUAGUUUACUAUUUUAUUAGAAAAAGUAUAGGAUAGAUUGACUCUUUUAGUUCAUUAUCAUUAACUUAUCUAUCAUUAAAAUAUUAUAUAUGAAUUAAUUGUAAUCCAAAAUGUGAUUGUAGUUUUUUAUGAUUUCCACUGUACCAUUAUUAUAAGACUUUUAUCCAUUCUAUAUUGUCAUCACACCAUUCUUAUAAGACUUUCAUCUUUUAUAUAUGGUAACAAUAUAAUUUUUAUAUGACCCUCACAUGAUUCUUAUAUGGACAUUGUUCUAUUUUGGUUUAAUAUCUAUUUUGGUCCCUCCUUUGGGAGGAUUUGUUCAAAGUGGUCCCUCCUUUUUUCAAAAGUUCACUUUAGUCCUAUCUUUCGCAAAGACUGUUCAAGUUGGUCCUUUUUGGUAACAGCAUUAAGUUCACUAACGGUAGAGCUGUCAGGUGUGUAAUGUUUGAUGAUGUGGCACUGUAAUUUGUUUUAAAAAAUAUAUAUAAUGAUGACGUGUAAAUGAAUAUAAUUAGGGUUGGAUUAAAAAAGGAAUUAGGGGACAAUUUGGGGGUAAUUUGGAAUGGAUUAAGUAAAUUGAAUCCGCGUCUUCCUCGUCAUUGUCUCCUCCACCCGAAUCCGACGUCCUAGCAUGGAAGCAAUUUCACCUCCGUCACACAUCUGGAAGAUUCUUCAAGGUCCCUUCCCUUUUCCUCUUCGCAUUUUUCGCUUUCAAUUUCCCAUACCUAACUGCUUCUUGCCAUUAAGGAAAGACGUUAUUUGUUGAAGGAGUUCUAGCGGAAGACCGGUAGACCAACUGCAGGAGGUGCUUGGUUGCAAAUGGCGACCACCGCAAGCCCCGACGUCGUCGAUGGCCCUGUGAUGAGCCUAAUCAACAAGCGCAUCUGCGCCUUCCGCAAGAAGAUGAAUCGCAUCGUUGCCAUGGAAGAGUCCCUCUCCCUGGGAAAAACCUUGAACAAGGAGCAGGAAGAGUUUCUACGAACCAAACCCUCCAUUCUCGCCCUCAUCGACGAGUUCGAGAAGUUUCGUCAACCCCUCGCCUCUGCGGUAGCCGAGGAACUCCAGGGAACGACGCCGAACGCGCGAAGCGCUGAAGCCCCAACCCAAACCCUAGCCGAAAGCUCUGGCUCGUUCGAGCAGCCGCCGCCGCAGCACUCAGGGGAGGACGUUGUCGUGGAGGACCUCCUCAACCUGCUCUACUAGUGAGUGCUUAAGAAUGAUUUGCUAGCAAUUUUUCUGGUGAAAUUCCAAGUGAAAUUGGCGACAUGAAGUGUUUACAAGAUCUUGAUUUGUCUAGGAACAAUUUCUCUGGAAAAUUUCCCAUUUUUACUCACUUUUGACAAGGAUUCAUAUUUGGGUGACCCCCACUUGAUACUCCCAAAGUUCUUUAACAUCUCUGACGAUAAAAAUAGCACAUGACAAAAAGUCUUGAAAAAUCCCACAAAAUGGUCUCUGGUUUUGGCUCUAAUAGCACAUGAUUUAGGAAGCUCUGGAUCCUCACCUUGGUAUUCUGACACAGUUAAAAUAUUUCACCUGAAGACAGUUUUCACACAUGGAGACAUCUUGAAAGCAACCUCCAACUUCACGGAGGAAAGAGUCAUACGAAAGGGUGGCUAUGGAGGGAUCUCGCCUUCAGCUGCCAGAGGUCACCGGAGAUGUGCUCCACCUCCUGAUGUGUUUGUUGUUUUUUUGAUUUGGUUGUUAACUUGUUACUAACUGCUUCUUGCCAUCCCAAAUUACCCCAAUUUAUUUUUUAAUUUAACUCUAAUUAUUUUAAUUUACACGUCACAAUUUUUUAUUUUUUUAAAACACAUAACAAUGCCACAUCAUCAAAUAUUAGCCACCUCUCAGUUCCGCCGUUAACAAAGUUAACGCCAUUACCAAAAAGGACCGAUUUGCACAGUUUUUACAAAAGUUAGGACUUAGGUGAACUUUUUAAAAAAGGGAGGACCACUUUAAACAAACCUUCCCAAAAGAGGGAUCAAAAUAGGUAUUAAACCUUCUAUUUUUAUUUGACCCUCACCCUCACUAUUUAUUGCUUGACAUUUUGUUAAAAAAUAUAUAAAAGUUUCUUAGAGAGCAUCUAUAAAUAAUUUUCUAGUUGCGUUGAAAAAUUGGAGACAUUCUUCUUCUAUUAUAUUUGUUCACAUUUAUGCGUAAAGAUGCAUUAAAUAUCUUUUGGACAACAUUUGUUGCAUAUCUCUUUUUCAAACAAUAGUUUCAUACAUCGUUGAAUAUCUAUUGUCAUUCAAUCGUUUCAGUCUUUUUAGAAAGAUUGUUGGCAUGGAGCAACAUAAACACAUUUUCCAAGAGAUAUUUGAUAUAAAAAAUCUUUAUAAGUCCUAAGAUAAAUUAGGAAGGACAUUAUCAACAAUAAAAAGUAAAAAUUUAUAGUAUUUGAAUUGUACUAAGAAAUGCGUAAAAAACAGGUAAUUUUAUGUCUAAACAUAAACCUAUUACACAAAAAUAAAUAUAUAAGGUGUUUUGUGGCUGUUGUCAUUCUAUGCCAUAAUCUAACAAUAAAUCAAAUUCUUGUUUUAACAUUUUGUUAUGAAAACACUUGAUUAAAAUAAAUUAAUUUUGCUGUAAGAAAACCUUAGCAUACAAACAUUCUUUAAAAUACUUUAACAUAUGCUAUAAUUUUAAUAGUCACUUAUUAUACUUGUAUUUUACUUUUGAAAGUCUAAUAUAAAGCGCAAGUGAUCUGAUCAUUAUAGCUCAAUUAAAAAAGUACGUUUUGAAUCAUAAUAGUAUACUUGAUGUUUGAAAAUAUAUUUAGUGUCAAUAAAAUAAAUGUAUUUUAAUUUUGGUGAACAUAAAAUAAAGAAGUUUUUGUGUAGUCUAUCUAAAACAUUUUCCUUUAGUUUGAAUUGGUAGAAAAUAUGAUUUGAAGAUAAUGUUAGUGUUAGUGAUAAUGGAGCGGAGGAGGCGUAGGUAAUAAGUGAGUUGGAACGUAUUGUGUUGUGUCCCUACAGAAAUGAACAAAAAGAUGUUACAGAUGGUGAAAGUUAAAGACAAAAGAAUGGACAUUAGAAAACGAAAGAUGAUUAAUACUUAGCGAGGAAGAGAGGAUGCAUCCACAUCAAUCCUGAUUUGUAGUUUAUCUCUUUUUGAGAAAAGGAAGAAGAUGGGACCACAAGGCUUUCCUACAACCAUUAUUCAUAAUAAAUAAAAUAUCUCUUAAUUAAUCUUAUUAUUUAAAUGAUGAACAUGCAUGGAUAUGCAUAAGAGCUUGUUGUUUCCUGUUGAUUAGAAAAGAAUGUUAGUGUACUAAAAAUAGUAAAGUUGAAUUAAAAAUGUUAGAUCUAAGAGAGAGGAAAUGCAGGUGAAUAGAAUAAGAAACCCAGAAGGAUGCCAGAAAAGGAAAGGGUGAAAAUAAGAAUGAGAGAGAGAGAGAAGGGGGAAAGCGCGUCCCAGAAAGGGAAACCAAAGGAGUAGUUUGUCUGAGUGAAUGAUGAAAGCGAUCUAACAAAUGAGACCACAAUGUGUGUGAUAGGACCAAUCAAUCCUCACCCAACUCUUACUCUCUCUGUCUCACUCAUCAUCUUCAUCAUCUUCUUCUUCUUCUUCUUCUUCUUCUUCUUCUUCUUCUUUCGACUAUGUAGACCCCAAUUCUUUUCCAACCGUUCAAGAAAUUCCAUAUUUAGAAACACCCAACUUAAAGGGUAAAAAAGCUGCUCUCAACCCAACCCACUUUUCCAUUCUUUUCACUUUCUCCACCCACCACCCUAUUCUUUUCACUUUUUUUUUUUUUUUUUAACAUUGUAUUUUCCUUAAACCUUCAACUUCCUAUGGUAAAACUACUAAGAAAAUAAACAUCAACGUGGGAGAAAAAGAGUAACACAAAUGACUCUCACUGCUGUGCCACUGUCUCACUUAUAGGAUGCAACCAAGCUCACUCUCACUCCAUUUUUUACUGCCUUUCUUUUCUUCUUUUUUCUUCAAGGCCCAUUUGGACCACCACCAACUUCUUCUUCUUCUUCUUCUAUUCUCCACUGCCUCUCUUCAUUCUUAGCUUACUCUUCCUUCAUCUUGCUUGGACCAACGCUACUCCUUCUUCACUUUCAAAACCUCAUUCAUCCUUUAUUUUAUCUUUCUUAAUCUUCAAAUAUUAUUUCUCACUUACAAACCAUUCACACAUUCUAAAACACCAAAAUACCAAGGAUUUUUUUUUUCUUUUAUCAUUCAAAUAUAUUUCAUCUCAUCCUUUUAAUUAUUCUAUUUAUAAAGAAAAUUCUUCUUUUUAUUUAUCAUUUUUUUAAUUUCUAUAUAACAAAUUUAUUUUUAACUAUUCUCUUAAUUUAGUUAAUAUCGAAAGGGAAAAAAUAAUUACAAUACAUACACCUACACUAAAAAAAAAGUAAAAGAUAACUCGCAUAAAAUUAGAUUAAAAAUAAAAAAUAAAAUAUUUUUCUUACUUUAAAUAAAAAAACUUUAAACUGCUAUAAUAAAGCAAGAAUGAGGUACAUGUACUAAAGUAAUACAUACAGCUUUGUCCUUGUAAAUAUGGCAUAGAGGUUACAAUUUUUUUCCAAACUCACCUUAAAUGUCAUAUUUUAAUGAGUUAUUGAUUCUAUUUAUUUGUUAUAAUAUUCAUUAUGGCUUCGGUCCUAUAUAUUAAUUCAAAAGUCAUAUCACAAGUGGAUUCAACUUAACAAAUUUUACAGAAAAUAAAAACAUACCCCUUAUAUACACCACUUAAAACACAUGCGUAAUAAUGUGUAUGCGUAUUCACUUGUUUUUUAAUAGCAAAAAAGAAUGAAAUUAUAACUAUAUAGAUAUUUUUUACAAUUUAAUUAUAGAUUAUUUUUAUCUAUUUCGUAAAUAAUUUUUAUUUAUUUAGUAGAUUAUUUUUAAUUAUUUAAUUUUAAAAAAUAGUUAAUUUUAAAAAAAUGAUUAAACUUAAAAAAUCAGUUAAAUUUAAAUGAAAUAGUAACUUAAAGAAUAAAAGUGAAAAAAAAAACGUAAAAAAAAAAAUCCCUUCAUGUAAUAUAUAUAUUAUAUAGAGAUAUAUGUAUUAGUAUUGAAUGCAGUUGCAAUGUAUUUAGUUUUUAGAAUAGUUGAAAUUUGUAGCCCUACAAUUCUUUUUAUAUAUAUAUAUAUAUAUAUAUAUAUAUAUAUAUAUAUAUAUAUAUAUAUAUAUAGAUCCUAUGGGAAUAAACUCUACCCAACUUAAGUAAAUUUAUUAUAGGAAGGAAAGUUCACAGUCCUGCAUUUAUAAUAGUUAAAUACAUUUUUUAAAUGUUACACUGUAUGUUUUGAAUACUAACACAUAGAGGAUACUUUUUGUAAUUUUAAUUUUGUUUGAAGAAAAAAAAAUGAAUGAGAGAUUAAUAGAAGAAUAAAAAAGGAUGAAUAAAUUAGAUAAUAUAAUGUUUUAGCUUAACAUAAAAUAAUAAUAUGCUAUACAAAAAAAAAAAGCAUUAUAAAAAACACUCCAAGACAAAAAUUAAAACUCUAAACAAAUUUUCAAGCAAGGAGAAAGAAUUAUUCUUUGAUACAAAUCUGAUCCAAGAAAAUUUAAGCCGAACAAUGAGAUAAUUUGUAUAUUAUAUUUUUGUGUAAUUGAUCGAAAGGAAGGAGGUGUGAUGCAAGAACAUAUCAUGAAUCAAUAGUGUAGGCUAAAAUAAUGUGGUUUACAGAGAGAGAUUAAGUUUAAUAAUUUAUAUUUUCCAUUUUGGUAGUACGACCCAGUGGUAGUACAAGAAAGCUAAAACUCGGGUCUUAUAUUAAAAGUAUUUGAAGCAUAGUUUUGAUGAAAAUAUCUAAGAUGACGGUAGUGAUGACGAAAACGUGUAUAGCUUAAAAUGAUAUUUAAAUUGUUUACCAAAGCACAAGGUGGAAAGAACAAAUGGAUGAUUAUUUUAGUGGGAAGACUAUUAUUUUUGCAACCUACGAGAUAACAAAGUUUAUGAUAAAACAUUGAGUAUGAUUCAUUAACGAGUCAGAAGCUGUUCCCUCUCAAACUCACAUGUCUAGAAUCGUUGAACCCAACCAAUCUAUUAACCAAUGAGGCCUCUGCUCGACAAAAGUACAUCCGAUAUAUUAUAUUAAUAAUAUGAUACGAUGAAAGAAAGAGCAGUUUUUAGUUUUAAUUAACAUUGUCAUUAUGCACUUACUUUAGUUUUUUUUUGUCGUAAAGGUUAAAAGUGAUAAUGGUUAAUAAAGUGUUAAACCCUCUCAAAACCCCUUGGCCAUUAUGCCCUUUUGGUGGCUUCUUUUUCUCUCUCUCACUCCAUGUAUCAGUGUCCUUUUGGAGCUUUAGACGAACAAUGAUAGGUCCCUCUCAUAAUAAUGGCAUUGUCUGACUGCUUUUGGCCGAGAGAACUGAUUCAAAGGACACCGUUGAUGGAGACUAUUCAUCACCAUCCGAUGAUAUUUCCAAGACACCAGAAAAUAAACCAUUUUGUAUCUCUGAUUUUUUCCCACCCUACUCCUCCUCUCAAUAUAUAAAAAUUCCUCAUUCCUAAUAUUAUUUUCUUCAACUUUUUUUGCUCGUUUAAGCUUUACCUAGAUUUGUCUCAACGUUUUUUGUCAAGCUAAACAACCCCCCAUUGCCCUUCUAAGCCACCAAAGCUAGCAUCUUUCCUUGGAAAAGUUUUUAAGACCAAUCCCAAUCCAAAGAGAAAUAAGGAACAAAUUGACAACCAUGUGUAGGUGAUAGCAAUACAUCCCAAAUUAAGAAACGAAUAGGUGCUGUCAUAAAUACCACAACGCAGAAAAGCAAUAAAUCAGAGUUAUACAAGAUCAUAAAAUUUUAGUCAGAGCCCAGAAUAUCUAGUUAAAGAUUUCGUCCGUUUGUUAGUUUGACUGACCCAGACCAAGACCAGUAAUAAGUACCCAAUUUGGAUUCUUUUUUUUUUUUUUUUUUUUUUUUCUUUCAUCCUUUCUUUUCACCUCAACAGUUAACAAGUUAUGGUCUUCCUAAAGGAGGUUGCUGGGUUGGACAUGGACACGGCCUAACACCGCAACCAUUUUUACAUGCUAAGAAAAGAAAAUAAUAUUUUUUUUUUGGGGAUGAUGAUAUUCUUAGGGAGCAGAUUAUGAUCAUUUGAAUGAAACUGGGUGGGCAGAAAAUUUCUAUAUAGGGUCAUGAGGGUCUCAUGAGAGUGUGGAACCCAUUUUUCUGCAGCCAACCUUGAGAAGAGGGUCUUAUCUGUUGUGGGAAUCCUGAUGAUGCUGCAGCAGUUGCUAAAUAAUGUGGAGGCCCGGAUUGCCACUGUUGUUGAUCGGCCAUUGACAAUGAAAGAUCACUUCCAAUACGGCCUCCAAUGCUGCUGCUGCUGCUGCUGGGAAACUACAUUUAAUAAAUAAAUAUAAAUAAAUAAAUAAAUAAAUAAAUAAAUGGGCUGACAACUCCAAUACUAAAAAUGUGUCUCAAUGGUAAUAAUAGUGGGGGCUCGUGUUUCUAUAUUUUCUGAUCUCUAUUUAAUGUAUGAGCUAAAAUAAAUUAAUUGAAGAGAUAGAUACCCACAUGAAAAUUUGGUGGGUGGUGAAUGGGAGCAAAAUUUUGAUGCAUUUGAGACUCUCCUCCGGAAGACCUGUAGGGACCAUAUCUUUGCAUUUCACUGGAAGCUGGACAAUGAAGGUGUGUUUGACUUAGCAUCCUCAAUGCUUCACUCUCCCCGUGCACAUCCCUUCCCUGUGUGUCCUUGUUCCCUCUAUUACAUGGUUUUGGCAGUAUAUUCACCAGCUUAACCAUAUAUAUUAACACACAUAUCAAUAACCAACCAUUCCACCAUAACUAAAUUUAAUAAUAACAACCUUCAACCAACCUUCGUUUUGCUUCCCCCAUUUCUCCAAUUUGAUUCACCUCCCACCUGUUGUUCAUGAUGAUGAUGAUUAUGAUGAUGAUGAUUCCCCAACGCUUGGUUACCCCCACCCUUUGAACUUGAACUUCCCAAACUUAAAUCCAGAUUGUGAUCUCCACCGUUACCUGUCGAUUCUGCUCCUUCAUAUUCAUUCAUUCAUACAUACGUUUCAUUAAUAAAACAUUAACACCAUUAUCGGAAAAAUAAAUCUUUAGUCCAUUACUUACCGGAGUUAAGCUCGUUCUCAUAUAUGCUGGGAUCAAAAUUGGUUACGGCCUCUUUCCCAUUGCAUUUUAUGGCUGCUUUGUCAUAAGCCCUAUAUAUACAUAUAUAUAGUAACAAUGUGCGAUUAAAUUAAAACCCUAAUCAUGAUUAAUAGUUUAAUAUUCUUCGCUAGAAGAUGGGCAAUCUAGUAAAUGGAAGGAGGAAAGGAAAACAAUUAAUAACGACGUGAGUGAGCAAAACAAGAUAGUAGUUUACUUUGCAGCUUCAAUCUCGGUGUCAAAGAGACCCAAAUAAACGUACCUAAUGAAUCAAAUGAGUUAAUCUUAGUGAUGUGAUGAGGAAGAUAUGAAACUUGGAUUGUUUAGCAUGAAUGAAGAAUGAGAAAAUCUAGAAAAAGAAAAAGGAGAAAAAGAAAAAGAAAAAGAAAAGAAAAGAAGGAAUACUUUUUC
RNAcentral lists this long non-coding RNA (58815 nucleotides) under Vigna radiata. Its description in RNAcentral is "long non-coding RNA (VRAD_LNC007015)". The record is from RNAcentral. Lineage: Eukaryota; Viridiplantae; Streptophyta; Magnoliopsida; Fabales; Fabaceae.